ACCGACUUCAUAGCUGAGUACGCAGGAGACCAAGAGGAAAAGCCAACUACAUGGGAACUCUAUGUAGAUGGAUCCUCAAAUAAAACAGGAAGCGAUGUAGUCAUAAUAUUGGCGGAUGAAAGGGGAACUCAAAUAGAAGUAUCCCUCAAAUUCGAAUUCCCAGCUUCAAAUAAUCAGGCAAAAUAUGAAGCCCUGAUUGCAGGAUUGAAGCUAGCAGAAGAGGUCGGUGCGACAAAAGUGACGAUAUACAGUGACUCUCAGGUGGUAACCUCCCAGAUAAAUGGAGAGUAUCAGGCCAAAGACCCGAACAUGAAGAGAUACCUGGAAAAAACUCUGGAAUACCUCGGGCGCUUUGCCGAAACCAAAGUUAAGCAUAUAACUCGGGAUCUCAAUAGCAGAGCAGACGCCCUCUCCAAGUUAGUGAGUACUAAGCCAGGAGGGAAUAAUAGAAGCCUGAUCCAGGAAACUCUCCAAGAGCCCUUUGUAGUAAAAGCAGAGGGCAAACAAAAUGUCCUCGAGGUAUCCGGCUAAAUCUCGGAUGGAUGAAUCCUCUGGUCGAAUACCUAAAAUUCGACAUCCUCCCCAAAGAGGAAAAAGAGGCCAAGAAAAUUCGCAGGGAAGCACAAUAUUACACUCUGGUAAAAAAUAUCCUUUAUAGAAGAGGAAUAUCAACGCCAUUGUUGAAGUGCGUACCAACCUCAAAGACCACUGAAGUGCUAGAGGAGGUCCACAAUGGGAUCUGCAGAAACCAUCUCGGAGCCAGGUCGCUAGCCAGAAAAGUAAUCCGAGCUGGAUUCUACUGGCCGACCUUGCAGAAAGAUGCCACAGAAUUUGUGAAAAAAUGCCAACCUUGCCAAAUGCAUGCAAAUUUCCACAUAGCUCCCCCCGAGGAGCUCAUUAGUAUAACUUCUCCAUGGCCCUUUGCAAAAUGGGGAAUGGAUUUGUUAGGUCCUUUUCCCCAGGCGCCAGGGCAAGUCAAAUACUUAAUUGUGGGAAUAGACUACUUCACAAAGUGGAUAGAAGCAGAACCAUUGGCCACCAUCACCGCCCAGAGAAGUCGGAGGUUCCUCUACAAAAAUAUCAUUACAAGGUAUGGGAUACCUCACUCCAUUACCACAGAUAAUGGAACCCAGUUCACCGAUUCCACCUUCAGAAGCCUAGUGGCCAGUAUGAAAAUCAAACACCAGUUCACCUCGGUGGAACACCCACAAGCAAAUGGACAAGCCGAGGCAGCCAACAAAGUCAUACUGGCAGGGCUAAAGAAAAGACUACAAGAUGCAAAAGGAGCAUGGACAGAAGAGCUCCCCCAAGUGCUGUGGGCUUAUCGGACGACACCCCAAUCUGCAAUUGGAGAAAUACCCUUCCGACUUGUCUAUGGGGUAGAAGCUAUGAUACCAGUAGAAAUCAGUGAGCAAAGCCCAAUAGUGAUUCUCCAUGAUGAAAUCUGAAACAUACAGGGGCACAAAGAGGAGCUAGAGUUGCUCCCCGAAGUCCGAGAACAAGCCCAGAUAAGAGAAGCAGCGCUGAAGCAAAGGAUGGCUACCAGAUACAGCAAGAAAGUCAUUCGAAGAAGUUUCGCACUAAGCGAUCUGGUCUUAAUCAGAAACGACAUAGGAGUCAACAAAUCGGGGGAAGGAAAACUCGCUGCCAAUUGGAAAGGACCCUACAAAGUUAGCGAGGUCUUAGAAAAAGGUUAUUAUAAGGUGACCGACCUAAGCGGCGCCGAGUUACCUAGAUCGUGGCAUGCUUGUAAUAUAAAAAGGUACUAUAGUUAAAAGCGAACUCUACUCCCUGAUGUACUCUUUUCCCAACUUCACGAUUUUUUCCCAAACAUUAAAGGGUUUUUUCUGAAGAAGGGUUUUUAAUGAGACAUCAUAGUAGAGGCUAAGGGGGAAAAGAUUAUUAAAAACCCUUAGUAGCAGUAAAGUACCUUCCCAAAUUAAUAAAGAUCUUUUACAAUAUCUCUUAUAAAUUCCUUCUCGUUUAUUUUUCUUCCUACGAAACGCGCCGACUUAAGCUCGACAAAACGUAAAAAUCCCAUGAACCGACCUCGAUGGUCGUCCGGAUAAAACGACGAGGUACAAGUCGGUGUAAAGAGGUUAUAAAAGUUGAUCAUGAGAAACUCGGAGGCAUUUCGACUCAUAAGUCGAAAUGAAAAACCGAGUAGAAAAGAAAACGCAUCGUAAAAAUAACCUAAGUCAUAGAACUCAAUAAAACAAAGUUGAGUAUAAGGAAUAACAAAAAAGAGAUCGAAAAACCUAGGAAAAAGCUUAAAGGCUGUCCUAAAGUCCUUAAAACAAAAAGGCUUAGAAAGACAGACAAGCAAAAGAUUUUCAGAAAAGAUUAAAGGGACUUCGAAAAAUCAAAAUCAGAAAGCAUGCACACAAAAAGGUAGCUGAAAUCCUUAUACCAAAAAGGGUAUUUUUUGUUAAAUAAAACCCUUAUCCAAAAAAGGGCAACUAUAAAUAUUUUUGUUUACGGCCAUAAAAGGCCAAGGCAAAUGUCAACAUACCACCACCACGAAUAUAAAGAGUUAAAAAAGAGGGGACCCACAGGCCGGGCCCCCAUAUAGCCAACAAAUUUUUAAAGAGCAUCACCACCAGGACCGAAGGGAGUAGUCGGAUCACCACCAGAGUCAGGAAGAGGAGUCGGAGCGCCAUCAGAACCAGGGAGAGAAGUGUCCAUAGGAGUCGGAGAAGAGGCGCCGAGAGGUCUUGAGGAGCUCGGAACAUCCUUUUGACGAGGAGGGGACUCAAUGAUUCUCUGCACCCGAGUCUUUAAAUAUGACUCGGUGACAACCUCGGGAGCUGGGGGAUAAACUAUGGCACCAUCAAUAAGGACCUUGUCAGGAUCCAAAGGAGAGAGAUCCAGGUCGGGAGCAAGAAUUCCGACCUGCUCCUUAAAAAUCCUCCAAGCCUCCUCGGCCCCCUCAGCAAUAGAGUCCUUCAACUCGGCAUAGGCAGUCCGAGAGUUCAACAAGUCCCUCCUUAUAGCCACAAGGUCCUCAAAUAAACUCUGAUAACUCUCCUGCGCCUUCUUUCUCAAGCCCUCCUCCAUGUUACAUAGGGCUUGUAACUUGCUUUCCUUCUCUCAGAGGCCAUCACUCUCCUCCUUCAAUUUGGCAACCUCCUUCUUCAACUCCUUCUCAUGUUCCUGAUAUAUGAGAAGCCUUCCCUCCAACUCUUCAACCUUAGAGGUUGAACCCAGAGAGCUAAGAGGAGUCUUCUCAAAAAUAUCAAGGAACUUGGCACAAAUCCCCGCCGCCCUGAUGCUCUCCUCAGCCAGAAUAGUGAGGUGGUUCCGAAUAGAAACAUCAUCCAUACUUAUAUGGGUAUGAGGAUAGAUGAACUUUCGGAUAAAUGCAGGAGCAUCCACCUUAGUCUCACCUUUAAAAAAAGAGCCAGACUCUAAAGCCUUGCGCUUCUUCUUCUCUGGCUCAGGAGAAGGUCGGGGAGGAGGGGACGACUGAGAAGAAGCCGAAGCAGGAAUAACAAUGGGUUGAGAAGGAGUCCCCAAAUUUCGGGAAGAAGGGUGAGGAAGAGGAAGAAGAGAGCUAGUUACCCUGGCACCACCGGUUCUGGCGGGAGACCUCGCCUUGGCCUCCUGGACUCUCUGGUAAGACUCAUUGGAAUUCUUCCUCGCCAUCUCUGUAAAAGAAAACGAUUAGUAAAACAAGUCGGUAAAGUCGGUAGAAACAAGUCGAAAACAAAGUAGAUAAAAGCUACCUAGUUGUGUCUGGACAAAAGAUGACGACCCCUGGAGAAAUUUUUUGGUAUCCAGAUAUGGGGCCCUCCCCCAUACUUCUCGGAGGAACCCUACAAUGGCUGCCUCCACCUCAUCCAGAUCCUCCAAACCAUAUUUCUCACAGGGGGAAGCCUCUAACCAGUAUAAGGGAAAGCGAGGGGAAGAAUUCUCAUCCAAGAAAAAGGGGUGGUGACCCUCUACGCCUUGAACUUUGAAAAAAUAAUUUUUGAAGUCAUGAAAGGAUUCAUCAAAAAGGGUGAAAACUCUCCGACCUUGUAUAGCUCGGAAAGACACCCAUUGUUGCUUAUUAUUUUGCCCACUGAAGGGCUUGGUCAUGUGGAAGAGAUGAAAGAAAAUUCUCAAAGAAGUCAGAAAGUCUAAAGCAUGGCUGAUAAACUGGUAGAUUUUCAAAAAACCCCAGGAAUUGGGGUGAAGCUGGGUAGGUGCAACACGGCAGUGACGUAAAACAGCAAUUUUGAAAUCAGAAAAUGGAAGGAAAAUACCCAAACGGGUAAUCAUGCUCUCAUACAUAAAGAAGAAAUGAGGGGGCCGUCUCAGUAGCCCUCCCGAAACAAACCCAGUCUUCCGGACCCGGGACAAGCAAUUCAUACUUUGGCUCAUCCUCAUCAGAGGUGCAGAGCCAGUGAUGAGUGCGAAGGUCAGUAAUAAAAUCAGUGUCAACCAGAGGUUCCUCUCCUAAGACUGUGACAUCAACCCACUGAGCAAGAAUUUCUACGGAAGACAUUUCUUUUCCUAAAAAGGUGAAUGAAACCUACAAAGAAAAAAGAAAAGAAAAUAAAAAACAUGGUCUCUAAGGGGAAUACGGAAUCAUAGCCUACGAAUCAACUUCUCUCUAUCUAAAGAAUAAAGACAUGCAAACAGAAGCAUUUCAUAAAAAGAGAAGAGGAGAAAAAGGCUAACCUUUGCCUGGAAACAAGGUAGAAGAAGAUGCAAGCCUUCAAACAAAGAAUGCCCCACGUACAGAAGAGAAGAAAAUUUGAAAAACGCAGAAACGAAACAACGAAAGAGAGGGAAGGCAUUUAUAGGCACGUUAGGGGCAUAAUGGUAAAAAUGGAAAGCGGUCAUUAAUGGGCGCACCGUUACCAAGGUAAUUAAAACCUACGCAAACCCCUAACGGACACGACGUUUGAUUGGACAUAACUAUGGAAACCAAAAGUCACAAAAGUCACGUCGGUUCCGAACAAACACGUCGGUUCCCUCCCAAGUCGGCUACGACCCCGAGUAGAAUACUCGAACCCAAAUCUUAAAAGAAAUUGGGCUCGAGUAGGGGCACUGUUCAUACCCUGGCCCAAUGAUAAGGCCCAGGUACAAACGAAAGGCCCAAUCCAAAGGAUUAAGCCUCGCUCUAUACCGACCUUCACCCCACGAAGUCGGUUCCUACCUCGACUUGCUCUAAAAAAGUCGGGACGAAGAUUAGCUGGCAAAUAAACACCCAUUCAAAUGAGUAACUGCCCCUAAAAUCUCUCUACCCACUUUCUGGAGCCAUAUCUCAACCUCCCUAAGAUAAAGGAACGGUUAUUUCCCAUGAAUAACGGAACCACACCAACAGUGGUUAUGGGUUCACCACUAUAAAUACACUGACACUUCUCAGGUAUCACUAAGCCCAAUACUCUCUAGACCUGUUUUGCUCCCUUUGCUGACUUUGGCAUCGGAGUGUCUUUGCAGGUACCACCCCCCAUUCUCUCAUACCGAAGUCAGAGGAGGGCCUUGGCGCAUCAAUCCGCUCGGAUACUCCAUCAUUCCAACGAUUGGGCCAGCCAAACUAAUCCAACCCCAUAAUCUCCGGUUACCCACCGUAACACAUACCUUAGCCAAUUCCUCUCUAAGCUCGGAACUCCUCAAAAACCUCUCAUUUUACAAGAUCCAAGCUUCCAAACGUCAAUUCCUCAAGCUUAAUCACUCGAAUUUUGUUCUAAACCGCCCAAUUGAACUCCAAAUCAACAAGAACACAAUCUAAUUCAUACAAUAUCACUAUAAUCGACAUAUAGUUCACUAAAUUAGAAAUUUACCAAGAAAUAGGAGUUUUUACCUUACUCACGGCUCAAAUGAAGAAAAUCCAAUAGUUUUCUCAAACUAACUCAAGCCUAGAACAUCAAAAUCACAUAAUUUAUCACACUCAAAACCUUAAAUUUCGAAAUUAGGGAAGAAUGACUGAAUAAAAAAUUGUUAGAUUGUUACCAAAUUGAUAUAUGGGUUUUAUAAAGAAUUCCAAGACGAAUGCGUGGCUGCCAAUGGUUCGUCAAUCAGAGCUCUAGAUUAAAAGUUACGAACGAUUGAAUUUUUGAAAAGAUUACGUUAUUUCCUUCCUCUCGACAAGUCCUACGUGCUUCAAGGAAUUAUAGGAAGAAGAAGGUUGGAUCUUAAUUAAGGGCCUUAGGUCCGAUUUGACCAGUUCGAUCUGUUAGUCUGGUUUUGAGACAAAAUAUUUAAAAUUAGUGUCAAAAUUUGUAUUUUUAAUAUUUCCACUUCACUAAACUAUAAAAUAUUAUUUCCUAAUUUCUUUGAAUAAUAAUUACUGGGCAUAUGCGGUCAACUUAUCCGUGAAUAUGGUCGACCCAACGAACAGAAAAUCUAGCAUCUAACGUAUCUCUUAAUAGACUCCUCAGUGUCCAAUGGCUCUGCGUCUCUGAUGCGGCAAACCCAACCCAACGUUAUAUAAGAUUUCGAAGAACUACUGACAACCAGUUCGCGACUGAAUAUCGCGAUGCUAUGGCUCUAUAGGAAGUCGCUACUACUAUCUGUCCAGCCGCUCACAGGCUCUCCAUCAAUGGGUAGGCCAAAUAUAUGAGCAACAUCUUUCAGUGUCACAGUAACCUCAUCCACUGGCAAUAUAAAGGUAUGAGUUUCUGGCCUCCACCUUUCCACCAGAGCAGCUAAUAAGGGGGUAAAAUCCUCUUAUCACCAAAAUCCUAGAAACGUGGUAUAAUCCCGUUAGGUGUAAAUAAUUUCCGACCAUAGUAUUCCAUAUAUGAGGCGGAUCCAGUUUACGAACCAUCAGAUUCCUGUUAGGCUGGUUCAACGAAAAUAUAUUUAUUCACUAACUAUAUUUAUUAGUUUAAAUAAAUAAAAAUUAUUACAAAUAAAUAUUUAUUUAUAAUACAAAUGACAUAAUUAUAAAUAUUGUNNNNNNNNNNNNNNNNNNNNNNNNNNNNNNNNNNNNNNNNNNNNNNNNNNNNNNNNNNNNNNNNNNNNNNNNAUUAUAGUAAAAAAAUUCAAAAAAAUUAUAUAUUCACAUUUAUAUAAAAUAAAAUAUGAUUAUAUUAGAAAAAUAAAAAGAUUAUUCAAAAAUAUUAAUAAAAUACAAAAAAAUAAUAACAAUACUAUAUUUUCAUCAUAUGAAACUAACAAUAACAAAAAUUACAAAAAUUUAAAUACAUAAAAAAAUAAAAUUUAUCAACUUAUAUAAAUUGGAUGAUCCAAAUAAUUGAUAAUAUAUUUUUCGAGUAUCAUAUAUUUACGUACCAUUUUUAAUCACUAUAAACUAAUAUUUUUUUUGUAUAAUUUUUUUCUUAACUCACACUACUACUAACAACACACUCUUAACACUCUUCUUCUUUUUUCUUGGUAUAUAUAUCCUAUCAAACUACUAGCACACAUAAUACAGCAUACAAAUGCAUGAAUGGGUCAUGAAUAAACUGAAUUUAUAGAGCUUUAUUUGGUCGCUGGUUAUCAGGGUGGAAGGGCUAUCCAUGCAGAUCGCUUGCAACAUGCCCCUGUGUUGCUGCAGGUUCUUCGGAAACUCGCAAAAACCCUACAACGCUUUAAGAAAUCUGAGAGAACAUGCCCACCGCGUGUUGCCAGGGUAUUGCCACAUGUCUCAGCCCGCCAUAUCACUACACUUCUCGCGUGUUGUCGGAAAACUGUCACACUGACGCAUUCUGUGAUCACGCUCCUGCGUAUUGACUCUGCACUUAUAUACCCGCAAAACACCCCAUCCUUAAUAUUAAGCAAAAAUAUGAUUGGGGGUUCAUAUAAAAAAAUAAAUUCUGUCAAAAUACAUCACUUCUCUACACAUUGUUUAAACUGUCUUUAGCUCAUUUUGAUNNNNNNNNNNNNNGUAUACAUUUAAAUUUGUACCCAUCUAAUAAUUAAAAAGAUAAUAUAACUGUUACGGUGGGUAACCGGAGAUUAUGGGGUUGGAUUAGUUUGGCUGGCCCAAUCGUUGGAAUGAUGGAGUAUCCGAGCGGAUUGAUGCGCCAAGGCCCUCCUCUAACUUCGGUAUGAGAGAAUGGGGGUGGUACCUGCAAAGACACUCCGAUGCCAAAGUCAGCAAAGGGAGCAAAACAGGUCUAGAGAGUAUUGGGCUUAGUGAUACCUGAGAAGUGUCAGUGUAUUUAUAGUGGUGAACCCAUAACCACCGUUGGUGUGGUUUCGUUAUUCAUGGGGAAUAACCGUUCCUUUAUCUUAGGGAGGUUGAGAUAUGGCUCCAGAAAGUGGGUAGAGAGAUUUUAGGGGCAGCUACUCAUUUGAAUGGGUGUUUAUCUGCCAGCUAAUCUUCGUCCCGACUUCUUUAGAGCAAGUCGAGGUAGGAACCGACUUCGUGGGGUGAAGGUUGGUAUAGAGCGAGGCUUAAUCCUUUGGAUUGGGCCUUUCGUUUGUACCAGGGCCUUAUCAUUGGGCCAGGGUAUGAACAGUGCCCCUACUCGAGCCCAAUUUCUUUUAAGAUUUGGAUUCGAGUAUUCUACUCGGGGUCGUAGCCGACUUGGGAGGGAACCGACGUGUUUGUUCGAAACCGAUGUGACUUUCGUGACUUUUGGUUUCCACAGUUACGUCCAAUCAAAUGUCGCGUCCGUUAGGGGUUUGCGUAGGUUUUAAUUACAUUGGUAAUGGUGCGCCCAUUAAUGACCGCUUUCCGUUUUUACCAUUAUGCCCCUAACGUGCCUAUAAAUGCCUUCCCUCUCUUUCGUUGUUUCGUUUCUGCGUUUUUCAAAUUUUCUUCUCUUCUGUACGUGGGGCAUUCUUUGUUUGAAGGCUUGCAUCUUCUUCUACCUUGUUUCCAGGCAAAGGUUAGCCUUUUUCUCCUCUUCUCUUUUAUGAAAUGCUUCUGUUUGCAUGUCUUUAUUCUUUAGAUAGAGAGAAGUUGAUUUCUAGUCUAUGAGUCCGUAUUCCCCUUAGAGACCAUGUUUUUUAUUUUCUUUUCUUUUUCCUUUGUAGGUUUCACUCACCUUUUUAGGAAAAGAAAUGUCUUCCGUAGAAAUUCUUUCUCAGUGGGUUGAUGUCACAGUCUUAGGAGAGGAACCUCUGGUUGACACUGAUUUUAUUACUGACCUUCGCACUCGUCACCGGCUCUGCACCUCUGAUGAGGAUGAGCCAAAGUAUGAAUUGCUUGCCCCGGGUCCGGAAGACCGGGUUUGUUUCUGGAGGGCUACUGAGACGGCCCCUCAUUUCUUCUUUAUGUAUGAGAGCAUGAUUACCCGUUUGGGUGUUUUCCUUCCAUUUUCUGAUUUCGAAAUUGCUGUUUUACGUCACUGUCGUGUUGCACCUACCCAGCUUCACCCCAAUUCCUGGGGCUUUUUGAAAAUCUAAUAGUUUAUCAGCCAUGCUUUAGACUUUCCGACUUCUUUGAGAAUUUUCUUUCAUCUCUUCCACAUGACCAAGCCCUUCAGUGGGCAAAAUAAUAAGCAACAAUGGGUGUCUUUCUGAGCUAUACAAGGUCGGAGAGUUUUCACCCUUUUUGAUGAAUCCUUUCAUGACUUCAAAAAUUAUUUUUUCAAAGUUCAAGGCGUAGAGGGUCACCACCCCUUUUUCUUGGAUGAGAAUUAUUCCCCUCGCUUUCCCUUGUACUGGUUAGAGGCUUCCCCCUGUGAGAAAUAUGGUUUGGAGGAUCUGGAUGAGGUGGAGGCAGCCAUUGUAGGGUUCCUCCGAGAAGUAUGGGGGAGGGCCCCAUAUCUGGAUACUAAAAAAUUUCUCCAGGGGUCGUCGUCUUUUGUCCAGACACAACUAGGUAGCUUUUAUCUACUUUGUUUCCGACUUGUUUCUAUCGACUUUACCGACUUGUUUUACUAAUCGUUUUCUUUUACAGAGAUGGCGAGGAAGAAUUCCAAUGAGUCUUACCAGAGAGUCCAGGAGGCCAAGGCGAGGUCUCGCGCCAGAACCGGUGGUGCCAAGGUAACUAGCUCUCCUCUUCCUCUUCCUCCCCCUUCUUCCCAAAAUUUGGGGACUCCUUCUCAACCCAUUGUUAUUCCUGCUUCGGCUUCUUCUCAGCCGUCCCCUCCUCUCCGACCUUCUCCUGAGCCAGAGAAGAAGAAGCGCAAGGCUUUAGAGUCUGGCUCUUCUUUUGAAGGGGAGGCUAAGGUGGAUGCUCCUGCAUUUAUCCGAAAGUUCAUCUAUCCCCAUACCCGUAUAGGUAUGGAUGAUGUUUCUAUUCGGAACCACCUCACUAUUCUGGCUGAGAAGAGCAUCAGGGCGGCGGGGAUUUGUGCCAAGUUCCUUGAUAUUUUUGAGAAGACUCCUCUUAGCUCUCUGGGUUCAACCUCUAAGGUUGAAGAGUUGGAGGGAAGGCUUCUCAUAUAUCAGGAACAUGAGAAGGAGUUGAAGAAGGAGGUUGCCAAAUUGAAGGAGGAGAGGGAUGGCCUCCGAGAGAAGGAGAGCAAGUUACAAGCCCUAUGUAACAUGGAGGAGGGCUUGAGAAAGAAGGCGCAGGAGAGUUAUCCGAGUUUAUUUGAGGACCUUGUGGCUGUAAGGAGGGACUUGUUGAACUCUCGGACUGCCUAUGCCGAGUUGGAAGACUCUAUUGCUGAGGGGGCCGAGGAGGCCUGGAGGAUUUUUAAGGAGCAGGUCGAAGUUCUUGCUCCCGACCUGGAUCUCUCUCCUUUGGAUCCUGACAAGGUCGUUAUUGAUGGUGCCAUAGUUUAUCCCCCAGCUCCCGAGGUCGUCACCGAGUCAGAUUUAAAGACUCGGGGGCAGAGAAUCAUUGAGUCCCCUCCUCGUCAAAAGGAUGUUCCGAGCUCCUCAAGACCUCUCGGCGCCUCUUCUCCGACUCCUAUGGACACUUCUCUCCCUGGUUCUGAUGGCGCUCCGACUCCUCUUCCUGACUCUGGUGGUGAUCCGACUACUCCCUUCGGUCCUGGUGGUGAUGCUCUUUAAAAAUUUGUUGGCUAUAUGGGGGCCCGGCCUGUGGGUCCCCUCUUUUUUAACUCUUUAUAUUUGUGGUGGUGGUAUGUUGACAUUUGCUUUGGCCUUUUAUGGCCGUAAACAAAAAUAUUUAUAGUUUCCCUUUUUUGGAUAAGGGUUUUAUUUAACAAAAAAUAUCCUUUUUGGUAUAAGGGUUUCAGCUGCCUUUUUGUGUGCAUGCUUUCUGAUUUUGAUUUUUCGAAGUCCCUUUAAUCUUUUCUGAAAACCUUUUGCUUGUCUGUCUUUCUAAGCCUUUUCGUUUUAAGGACUUUAGGACAGCCUUUAAGCUUUUUCCUAGGUUUUUCGAUCUCUUUUUUGUUAUUCCUUAUACUCAACUUUGUUUUAUUGAGUUCUAUGACUUAGGUUAUUUUUGCGAUGCGUUUUCUUUUCUACUCGAUUUUUCAUUUCGACUUAUGAGUCGAAAUGUCUCCGAGUUUCUCACGAUCAACUUUUAUAACCUCUUUACACCGACUUGUACCUCAUCAUUUUAUCCCGACGACCAUCUAGGUCGGUUCAUGGGAUUUUUACGUUUUGUCGAGCUUAAGUCGGCGCGUUUCGUAGGAAGAAAAAUAAACGAGAAGGAAUUUAUAGUAGAUAUUGUAAAAGAUCUUUAUUAAUUUGGGAAGGUACUUUACUGCUACUAAGGGUUUUUAAUAAUCUUUUCCCCCUUAGCCUCUACUAUGAUGCCUCAUUAAAAACCCUUCUUCAGAAAAAACCCUUUAAUGUUUGGGAAAAAAUCGUGAAGUUGGGAAAAGAGUACAUCAGGGAGUAGAGUUCGCUUUUAACUAUAGUACCUUUUUAUAUUACAAGCAUGCCACGAUCUAGGUAACUCGGCGCCGCUUAGGUCGGUCACCUUAUAAUAACCUUUUCCUAAGACCUCGCUAACUUUGUAGGGUCCUUUCCAAUUGACAGCGAGUUUUCCUUCCCCCGAUUUGUUGACUCCUAUGUCAUUUCUGAUUAAGACCAGAUCGCUUAGUGCGAAACUUCUUCGAAUGAAUUUCUUGUUGUAUCUGGUAGCCAUCCUUUGCUUCAGCGCUGCUUCUCUUAUCUGGGCUUGUUCUCGAACUUUGGGGAGCAACUCUAGCUCCUCUUUGUGCCCCUGUAUGUUUCGGAUUUCAUCAUGGAGAAUCACUCUUGGGCUUUGCUCACUGAUUUCUACUGGUAUCAUAGCUUCUACCCCAUAGACAAGUCGGAAGGGUGUUUCUCCAGUUGCAAAUUGGGGUGUCGUCCGAUAAACCCACAGCACUUGGGGGAGCUCUUCUGUCCAUGCUCCUUUUGCAUCUUGUAGUCUUUUCUUUAGCCCUGCCAGUAUGACUUUGUUGGCUGCCUCGGCUUGUCCAUUUGCUUGUGGGUGUUCCACCGAGGUGAACUGGUGUUUGAUUUUCAUACUAGCCACUAGGCUUCUGAAGGUGGAAUCGGUGAACUGGGUUCUAUUAUCUGUGGUAAUGGAGUGAGGUAUCACAUACCUUGUAAUGAUAUUUUUGUAGAGGAACCUCCGACUUCUAUGGGCGGUGAUAGUGGCCAAUGGUUCUGCUUCUAUCCACUUUGUGAAGUAGUCUAUUCCUACAAUUAAGCAUUUGACUUGCCCUGGCGCCUGGGGAAAAGGACCUAAUAAAUCCAUUCCCCAUUUUGCGAAGGGCCAUGGAGAAGUUAUACUAAUGAGCUCCUCGGGAGGAGCUACGUGGAAAUUUGCAUGCAUUUGGCAAGGUUGGCAUUUUUUCACAAAUUCUGUGGCAUCUUUCUGCAAGGUCGGCCAGACCAGAGGAUUCAUCCAUCCGAGAUUUAGCCCGGAUACCUCGAGGACAUCUUGUUUGCCCUCUGCUUUUACUACAGAGGGCUCUUGGAGAGUUUCCUGGAUCAGGCUUCUAUUAUUCCCUCCUGGCUUAGUACUCGCUAACUUGGAGAGGGCGUCUGCUCUGCUAUUGAGAUCCCGAGUUAUAUGCUUAACUUCGGUUUCGGCAAAGUGCCCGAGGUAUUCCAGAAUUUUUUCCAGGUAUCUCUUCAUGUUUGGGUCUUUGGCCUGAUACUCUCCAUUUAUCUGGGAGGUUACCACCUGAGAGUCACUGUAUAUCGUCACUUUUGUCGCACCGACCUCUUCUGCUAGCUUCAAUCUUGCAAUCAGGGCUUCAUAUUCUGCCUGAUUAUUUAAAGCUGAGAAUUCGAAUUUGAGGGAUACCUCUAUUUGAGUUCCCCUUUCAUCCGCCAGUAUUAUGCCUGCACUACUUUCUGUUUUAUUUGAGGAUCCAUCUACAUAGAGUUCCCAUGUAGUUGGCUUUUCCUCUUGGUCUCUUGCGUACUCAGCUAUGAAGUCGGUGAGGCAUUGGGCUUUGAUUGCUGUCCGAGUUUCAUACUUCAAAUCAAACUCGGAGAGCUCUAUUGCCCAUUGAACCAUUCUCCCCGCAACAUCCGUCUUCUGGAAGAUUUGUUUCAUGGGUUGGUUCGUUCUGACUCUUAUUGUAUGUGCUUGAAAAUAAGGCCGUAGCCUUCGUGAGGCUAUUACUAAGGAGUAGGCAAACUUCUCUAGUUUGUGGUACCUUAGCUCGGGGCCUUGUAGAACUUUGCUGAUGAAGUAGAUUGGAUGCUGUCCGGCCUCAUUCUCCCUUAUCAGGGCUGAUGCGACAGCUCUGUCUGCUACAGACAAAUAAAGGACGAGAUCUUCCCCAAUUAGAGGUCGGGUUAGGAUUGGUGGUUGACUCAAGAACCUUUUGAACUCCUAGAAUGCUUGUUCGCAUUCCAGAGUCCGUUUGAACUGGCAUCCUGUUCUUAAUAAAGAAAACAGUGGAAGGGAUUUGAGUGCUGAUCUUGCCAAGAAUCUGGAGAAGGCUGCAAGUCGGCCAUUCAAUUGCUGAACCUUUCUUAAGCAAGUCAGGCUCUUCAUUUCCAGGAUAGCUUUACACUUAUCGGGAUUUGCUUCAAUCCCUCUCUGUGUUAGCAUAAAACCUAGGAAUUUUCCAGCCUCCACCGCAAAGGCACACUUUGCGGGAUUUAGCCUCAUCCUGUGUAGCCUUAUGGUGUCGAAGACUUGCGAGAGGUCGACUUCUUCUUUGGUUUUCACUAGCAUGUUGUCGACGUAGACUUCCAUUAAGCUCCCUAGGUGAGGGGCGAACACUUUAUUCAUCAACCUUUGGUAUGUGGCCCCUGCAAUUUUAAUCCAAAUGGCAUGACUACGUAGCAAAAAUUAGCUCUGGGCGUGAUGAAUGAUGUUUUCUCCUGGUCUGACUCAUACAUCAGGAUUUGGUUAUAUCCCGAGUAGGCAUCAAUGAACGACAAGUAUUGAUAUCCUGAGCUAGAGUCUACUAGGGUAUCAAUACUCGGGAGUGGAUAAGGGUCUUUGGGACAUGCUUUAUUUAAGUCGGUGUAGUCAACACACAUCCUCCAAUUGCCGUUUUGCUUCUUGACUAGAACUACAUUUGCUAGCCAUGUUGGAUAUUUAACUUCUCUAAUGAAGCCGGCUUCUAGGAGUGCCUGAACUUGCUCUUCCACCACUAGGGCUCGUUCCGGGCCGAGCUUGCGCCUUUUCUGUUGUACAGGUCGGGAUCCCGGAUGUACCGAGAGCUUGUGGGACAUGAGCUCGGGGUCUAUCCCGGGCAUGUCGGAAGCCUUCCAGGAGAAGAGGUCGGAAUUGUCUCUUAGGAGCUUAGUCAACCCUUGCUUCAGGGUUUCCCCUAGGUCGGCUCCUAUGCUGGCAUUCUUCCCUUCCUCUUCGUCGACCUGUAUUUCUUCAGUUUUUCCUCCUCGCUGUGGUCGUAGCUCUUUUUUGGCCCUUGCACCACCGAGCUCUAUGGUGUGAACCUCUUUGCCUUUUCCCCUCAGGUUCAGGCUUUCAUUGUAACACUUUCUUGCCAACUUCUGGUCUCCCCGCACUGUUGCUAUUCUCGCAGGUGUCGGAAAUUUCAUGCAAUGAUGGGGGGUAGACACCACCACUCUAAGUCGAUUCAGGGUAGUUCUGCCGAUUAAGGCAUUGUAUGCUGACCCUACGUCGAUGACUAUAAAGUCUAUACUCAGAGUUUUGGAUUUUUCCCCCUUUCCGAAGGUAGUGUGGAGAGGUAUAAAUCCUAGUGGUUUUAUUGGCGUAUCGCCUAGCCCGUACAAGGUGUCGGGAUAGGCUCUUAACUCCUUUUCAUCCAGCCCCAGUUUGUCAAACACGGGCUUGAAAAUGAUAUCCGCCGAGCUUCCUUGAUCUACUAGGGUUCUGUGGAGAUGGGCAUUAGCUAGGAUCAUAGUUAUUACCACUGGAUCGUCAUGUCCAGGGAUUACUCAUUGUCCGUCCUCUUUUGUAAAUGAGAUAGUGGGGACGUCGGAUGAUUCAUUUCUGACCUGGUAGACUCGCUUGAGGUGUCUUUUGCGAGCGGACUUGGUGAGUCCCCCUCCCGCGAAUCCGCCUGAGAUCAUAUGUAUAUGUCUCUUCGGAGUCUGCGGUGGUGGGUCUCUUCUAUCCACAUCGUCUCGCUUUCUCUUCCCAUGAUUGUCCGACCUUUCUAUGAGAUAUCUGUCAAGUCGGCCUUCUUUGGCAAGCUUUUCUAUCACAUUUUUAAGGUCGUAACAGUCAUUUGUCGAGUGACCAUAUAUUUUAUGAUACUCACAGUAGUCGCUGCGACUCCCCCUUUUUUAUUUUUAAUGGGCCUGGGAGGUGGCAGCCUUUCAGUAUUGCAAAUUUCUCUGUAUACGUCCGCUAUAGAAACCUUUAGAGGAGUAUAAGAGUGAUAUUUCCUGGGCCUGUCAGGACCGAGGUCUUCUUUCUUCUUGGGCUCCCUUUCUCUCUCUUUUAUUGAGGGAAGGUGCCCAGGUCGCCAGCUCGACUCUCUCAGCCUGACAUUUUCCUCCAUGUUGAUGUAUUUUUCAGCUCUUUCUUGUACAUCACUCAGGGAUGUGGGGUGCCUUUUUGAUAUGGACUGUGAGAAGGAACCUUCCCUAAGUCCAUUUACUAGCCCCAUAAUGACUGUCUCGGUGGGUAGGUCUUGAAUCUCUAAGCAUGCUUUGUUGAACCUUUCCAUAUAAUCUCGUAGAGGUUCUCCGACCUCCUGUUUUAUUCCCAGGAGGCUCCAUGCAUGCUUUACUUUAUCUUUCUGAAUGGAGAACCUCAUCAGAAACUUCCUCGAGAGGUCCUCGAAGCUGGUAACCGACCUUGGAGGGAGACUAUCGAACCACUUCAUCGCUGCUUUCGAUAAGGUGGUCGGGAAAGCUUUGCAGCGCGUUGCAUCAGAAGCAUCAGCCAGAUACAUCCGACUUUUAAAGUUGCUUAGAUGAUGCUUCGGAUCGGUGGUUCCGUCAUAGAGGUCCAUAUCGGGGCUUUUAAAGUUUUUUAGAACUUUUGCCCUCAUUAUGUCCUCACUGAAAGGGUCCUCCCCUCCCGGGGGCGACUCUUCUCGAUCUUCACGGGAAUUCUGACCUCUGAGGGAGAAUUCUAACUUUAAGAGUUUUUUCUCUAACUCUUUUCGUCGAUCCAUCUCCUCUCUUAGGUGCUUUUCUAUCUCCGAUUCCUGUUCCAGCUGUUCCAAGCGACUUUGGUGGACAUGGACUAGCCCCAUUAGUUCAGUUGCGUGGGGUGGUCCAUCCUUUUCUGAUUCACGCCCCUCCAAGGAAUUUGUCUUCGGAUUUUUAAAUCCGGAGGUUCCUUCCCUGUGUUGGUCGUUGGUUUCCUGGUGAAGGGUCAGGUCUACGUCGUGGUUUCCGGUAUCCAGAUUCUCUUGUUCGGAAUCUGAUGCCACAUGACCGUCUUCCUGUGACAUGUCCGCCUUUACUGGUUGAUCUCACGGGUCCCCGGCAACGGCGCCAAUGUUACGGUGGGUAACCGGAGAUUAUGGGGUUGGAUUAGUUUGGCUGGCCCAAUCGUUGGAAUGAUGGAGUAUCCGAGCGGAUUGAUGCGCCAAGGCCCUCCUCUAACUUCGGUAUGAGAGAAUGGGGGGUGGUACCUGCAAAGACACUCCGAUGCCAAAGUCAGCAAAGGGAGCAAAACAGGUCUAGAGAGUAUUGGGUUUAGUGAUACCUGAGAAGUGUCAGUGUAUUUAUAGUGGUGAACCCAUAACCACCGUUGGUGUGGUUCCGUUAUUCAUGGGGAAUAACCCUUUCUUUAUCUUAGUGAGGUUGAGAUAUGGCUCCAGAAAGUGGGUAGAGAGAUUUUAGGGGCAGUUACUCAUUUGAAUGGGUGUUUAUCUGCCAGCUAAUCUUCGUCCCGACUUCUUUAGAGCAAGUCGAGGUAGGAACCGACUUCGUGGGGUGAAGGUCGGUAUAGAGCGAGGCUUAAUCCUUUGGAUUGGGCCUUUCGUUUGUACCUGGGCCUUAUCAUUGGGCCAGGGUAUGAACAAUAACAAACCUGAUGGAUUUUUUAUUUUAAUAAAUAAAAUAAAUGUAAUAUUUAUCGAAAUAAAUAUUUUUGCAAAAAUUUACCGAUUUAAAUUUCCUUGUCAUAUCUCGUUUACAGUAUAAAUGAGAUGAUUUUUUAGGUAUAUGGCAAGUCAAAUUGAUACGUGUAUAUUUUGAUAUAUGUAUUUUUUUUAAAAAAAUUGAAAAUAAUAAAAAAUAUUAAUAAUAUCAAUAAUCUAAACUGUUGGCAUGUAAUUAGUACAUAAAAAGUUGAUAGAAGAGAUUAAAAUGGAUAUGUUUGAUCAAUUUUAGUCUAUUUUAAAUAAUAGGGAUUAACACGUUUAUUUAGAAAUCAUUAAACUUCCCACUAUUAAUACGGUUACCCCUUUUCUAAUUAUCCACUUUUUAAAAAUUUAAAAUAUAAUUUUUUUGUGACUAAAAUAUAAUUUAAAUACACGUGAUUUAUUUGAUAACUCGGUUCAUGCAUGUUACUGCUCUAUAUAUAAUAUGAAAUCUUUUUUACUUAAAUUAUAUUUCAAAUUUUUAUGUACUACUCCCAUGCAACAAAUAAAAUUUAUAUAUACUCCCGUGUAAAAACAAAAAAAGUAAGUGAAUAUGAAAGAAAAUAAAUGUGCUGUGAUAAUAGGUAGUUACAAAUAUAUUUUCAACACACUAUUAAUAAUGGGCAAUUACAAAUAUAUUUUUAUUUAUACACUAUUAAUAUAUUUGUUUUUUCCAUAUUCACUUAGGGAGUAUAUAUAAAUUUUAUUUGUUGGAUGGAGUGCAUAAAAAUUUGGAAUAUAAUUUUUUAUGCCCCAUCCUUUUCUAAUAAAAUAACAGAUAUUGUACCCAUUUUUUAUGAACAACUUUAAUUAUUAAAUAGAAUUUUUAAAUUAAUUAUAAAAUUAUUUUACUUUUAAAUUGUGGAUGUUUUAAACUAUGUUACAAAAGAUUUGAAUGAUUUAUUUUUAAUGUACUGAUAAUAUAAAAAUAAUUAUACGGUUAUUUAAAAAUUAGAAGUAAUAAGUAAUUAUUUAAUGCUUAAUAUGAUAUUGGUUAUAAUUACGUGAUAAUUGAAACGGUUAUCUCUCACACGUUAUCUUCCAUUAUCCACGUGAGAGAUAACCGUUUCAAUUCUCCCCAUAUCGGUAUAUCCCAUCAAUCUCUCAACAGUUGCCAAACAAUUAUUUUUAUUUUUCAAAUUUAAAUCAAUCAAAUUGAAAGAGAUUGAUGGGAUAGUAGAGAGAAAAUUGAAAAUGUUAUUUCUCACGUGAUAGGAGAGAUAACGUGAGAAAUAACCGUUUCAAUUAUUCUCACGUAGUUGUCAUAACGACCAAUAUUAUUGCUUCUCAUUAAAUAAUUUCUCUUUUUGAGUAUUAAUUGAUUAAAUAUAUCCAUUUCAAUCUCUUUUACCAAUUUUUUAUGUAUUAAUUGCAUGCCAAAAUUUUGACUUAUUGAUAUUAUUAAUAUUUUUUAUUAUUUUUAAAAUUGAAAAAAAAUACAUGUAUCUCAUUUAUACGGUAAAAUUGACACGAAAUCUGACAAGUCAAAUUAACACGUGUGUAAACGAGAUAUGGCAAGAGAAUUUAAAUCGAUAAAUUCUCAUAAAAAUAUUUAUUUCGAUAAAUAUUAUAUUUAUUUUAUUUAUUAAAAUAAAAAAUCCCAAACCUGAUGCGUUGCUUAAUAAAAGAAGUUGGGUUUAGUAGCUCACACGUAAAACGUUCUAAUCUCUGUCAACCUGAUCUACCAUUCAUUCACAUAAAACAAACCCUAAGUAGACGGUGUUUUUCUGCAGCACCGAUUUCUGCAACCCUAACUGGUAAUUGCUACUUUUAUACCUAAUUCGUUUUAAAUUAUUCAUAUUCAGGAUUUGGAUUAUGGUUAAUGUGCUGCUAUUGGUGAGUUUUGGUUGUGAAUCAAGAUGAGUUCUUGAGGCGAUCGCGGGAGAACAUGGAAUUUCCUAUUUUAUUGUUAGGAUAACGAGGGUUACGUUUUAAGCUUUUUCUGGUUUUGAUUUGCUAAGAUUUUCGAUGUGGUUUGUUGUGCUUUUCCUUGCUGUGUUUUGUGCUAGGGUUUUGAAUAACAACGAAAAAAUGAGCUAGUUGCUCUAUUUAAUUUUUUUGCAACAAUUUUGAAAAAUAAUAAUUACAAAUCUUGUAUUUAACUGAGUUUAGAUUGAGAACUAUGCUUGAUUAUUUAGGUUUACACUUUAAUCUUUGAGUACCAAUUAUUAUUAUUGACGAGGUUAUAUAUAUAUAUUUUCAAUUGAGAUUUAUUUUCUUUUUCAGAUAUUUCAUUUCAGAUUUAAUUGAGGAUAUAUAAGUGAACUCUGACAGCAUUCUAGAUUCUUCAUCUAGGAUAUUAAUUCCUCUUAAAUGUUGGUUGUUUUAGUAAAUUAAUCUUGCAAUGGAGCAAAAUGAAUGUUAAUGUUUCUGAUGCUAACCCCAAUGAUCAAACCAAUUCACAAGGCUUGUUAUAUAGAAAUGAUCCAUUCUGCUUAUUGUUUGCAGAACCUGUAGUAGAAGUGAAAUUGAAGAGCAGUAUGAAAGAAGCAGCAGCAAUACCAUACAAUUUAAGAUGUCAUGGUCGUGUAGUUGGCGACCGCUAUUUGAGGCCUAGACAAGUCCAGGUUGAUUAUAGCUCCAAGAGACGUCGGUCCAGACGCAGGUUAUGCUUGUUACUUUUUAGAGCUUCUUGCCUUCUCCUUUUACAUACGGUUUGUUCAGCUAAUAAGAAUUCGCAUCAAAUUAUCAAUAUAUUGAUUUCUUUUUUUUAAUAUUCCUUUCCUUGAAAAUCAAUUGUUGUUUGAAAUCAAAGACAAAAGCCUUGUGAUCCCUCUUCAUCAGAAUCUGAUGAAGAUGAAGAGCCCCCCUUACCUUCGCUUAUAGUUUAUGGCAUUACAUUAUUAGAUUAUUAUUAUUAUUGCUUAAAUUUCCUUGUUCUUACAAAUCAACUUCUAUGUGACAUCAAAGGACCCUUUUUUAUUGAAGGCGAGGCACUGAAGCUGAAGAAGUGUGAGUGCUAUUAUGAUUUGUAACCAUAUAUCAAUAUAAUAAACUCCGCCUAUGUUACACUUGCGGUACAUAGUCGGUACAUAGCCGGUCCCAAGCCCGGAUAAAGGAGGAGGGUUGUGUUAGGUCUUCGGCAACCAACAUAAAAAUAUAGCCGAACCCCCAUGACAUAUCAAUAUAAUAAUACCUCCUUUUGGUUUUUUUCCCCUUUCUUUUUUUUUUUUGGGCAUUCUUCCAGAUUUCUAAGGAAAAUGAGAUUUAAAUUUAUUGAGACUACGUUUCCUUAUCCAUUAGCUGCAAUGAAACACUACAACCAUGGGCUAAAAGAGGUAAAUUAACUUCUUAGUCCUAGUCUAUUGAUUUCUUUUGAUUAUAGUACCUUUAUUAAACAAUAAAAAGAAAAAUUCUUCCUUGUUAUUUGUUUUUCAGGAAGAGCAAUAUGAGGUUACUGGUACUCGUGGAAAAGUGUGCCGUUAUUUCAAAAAACUUGGCUAUAUACGCCUAAUGCACUUUAUAGCUGAGCCUAAAUAUACUAAAAACAUGCCCAAUGCAUCAGAGGAUACCGCUAAGCACUUUUAUGCCAGAGUUCAUCAAAUGCCUAAUCGUGAAACUCAUGUGGAUUACUGUAAAGUGCAAGAAAAACCCUCACCACGUGGUAUCUUUACUAAAAUUUUUCUUUCGUGCUUUCUAUUUUUUGUGGCCCCACUUAAUGAUGCGGCUUGUUUGGAAUGUGUUGUAGGUCCUUUUCUCCAUGAAGUCGUUCCCUUGUGCUGUGAAACUUGUGGUCUUAAGGAUCUGAAAGCCCUUGAGUCAAAAUCAUUGGAAUUGAGGUUUAUUCACUCUUUAGUGAUAGUAAUAUAUAUUGAGUUGUUUAUAAGAGUUUAUAUUGACUUGUUUUUAUUUUGGAAUUGAAGUGCUGAAGGUGAAGGAGGAAAGGAGGAGUAUUGGAAGUAAGAGUCACUGUUUCUCUUUUUAUAAUAUGUUUAUCUUCUGCAUAUGGAUUAUGAUUUUUAAUUGAAAAUUGUUUGGCUUACACGUUUGUUUUUAUUUGUUUUUCUAUGCUUUCUGCAGUGGUUAUCACACCUCCACUCCUCCAAAACUUAUUGUGGCACGCAGAAACCCAGAGUUCAUAGCAAAACAAGCCGCCGGGAGAAAGAAAAAACGUUGAAUGGAUCUUAGAAGAAUUGAACAACUAAUAUCCAGUCUGUACUCAUGUAUGACUGUUCCUUUGGCAAGAUUUUCUUGUAAAGCAAUGUUGUUUGCGGAGAAUACUUUCUAACUUGACUACAGUAAUAUUAGCUAAGGUUUUCUGUACUACAUUUGUGUGAUUAUGUCUAUAUUUCUACUAAUUUCUACUAAUUCUGGCGGAAAAUUAUGGGAUGUGGUGUGCAUUGAUCAUAUUGGUAUAUAUGGUGAUUUGUCUAAUUGUGGUUAGCUACAAAAGCAUCUUGUUUUAUAUCACCUUUGGUGUAUGCUACAGGGUGAACGGCUUGUUUAGAGGUUUAAUAAUCUAUCUGGUUAAAUCGGUUUAAAUAACUAAUAAAAUUAUUUAAAUUCUAUUUUAAAUUUAUGGGUAUCCAAAUUUUAUUUUAAGAAUUUGAUUAAUUUUAGAUUGCUUGGUUGUGAUGUGUUUAAAUAGAAUAAGAAUCGAAUAUUUUCUUUUAAUACUUGUAAGUUGAAUAUUUUUAUAUUCUUUAAAAUAUAAGAGAGAUAAUUAAGGGCAAAACACAUAGUUAAACUAAAUGGAGAGAAAAACUUCACAAUUCUACUAAAAGUAAAAACGCAAAGUGAAUCUCCCAAAAGCAGCAUCAAAACGCAAAGUGAAUCUCCAUGUAAUUUGAAUUAACCCAAUUCGAAUUACACAAAGCAAUUACGUGUUACGUGUGAUUAUAGUAAUUCGAAUAAUGUUGAUUUGAAUUAUGCAUGCAUGAGCUCCAAUAGUAAUUGGAAGCAUAUUAAUUUGAAUUACACACAAACAAGCACACUGUUUUUGCUACCCUUAGUUUGAACUAGUACACCAUUUUUGCUAUCCUUAGUAAUUCGAAACAAUAUGAUUCGAAUUAUCCCCGGUUUGGCUGCCCAUAGUAAUUUGAAAUAACACUCAAAUUUUAAAUAAAAUACUCUACAUAGUCAAUAAUAAUUUAGAAAUAAAAAAAAGGGUAAAACACGUUAAUAAGCCAAAGCCAAAACAAAAUUUCAUAAAUCAACCAAAUUGAAAAUCAAUACAUGAAUCAACCAGAAGUACAUUUUCAUGUAAUUCGAAUUAGGCUAAUUCGAAUUAUACAUUUAAUGUAAUUCGAAUCACACUUAUUCAAAUUACACACACGAACACAAGCACUAAUUCGAAUCAGAGUGAUUCGAACUACACACACAAACUCACAUACUAGUUCAAAUUGGACUGAUUCGAACUAGUAUCCGGUAUAUUAGCUCAUAGUAAUUUGAAGCAUGCUGAUUCGAAUUAUGGAAUAUUUACCAAAAAUAUUAGAAAAAUAUUAGUGAAAUAUUUUUCAAAAAUAUUAGAAAAAAACUAUAUAAUAUAAAAAAAAUAUACUACAAAAAAUAUAAAAAAAAUUAUAAAUAUUAGUUGAAUGUGAAUUCUAUAGCAUAAAUCUAAUCCAUGCAAUUAUUUUAAUACACCAACAAUUAUAUCUAUAUGGAGUCAAUGCUAAAUCGAAUUCAAUUAGUUCGAUAAUACGAGUCUAUGAAAAAAAAUUGUAUUUUAUAAAGUUUAAAAAUUUUUAUUAUGUAAUAAGUUAGUAACGAGUACAUUACAAAUCUUUUAUAGUACUUAUCAUAACAAUGUUUAAUUUAAUAAUUGUUAUUAAAGUUUUAGUUGUACUCGUUACAAAAUAAAUAAUCACAAUAAACUAGUAAGAGAAUAUUCCAAAUCUAACCCAAUAUACUUCAUACCUCCACUACCUUUCCAACUAGGGAUGUCAAUGGGGCAGGGCGGGGGCAGGGGAUGCCUCUCUACUCCCCAUCCCCACCCUCAGAUUUGCUCCCCAUUCCCGCCCCCGUUCCCCGCCGUGGGGUAAUAUUGCUCCCCAUCCCCAUUCCCCACAGGGCCCCAUUCCCCGCGGGGACCCCAUUCCCCAUCUACAUAAUAGUUCUAACUAAUUAUUAAUUUUCAUAUGAAUAGAGCUGCAAGUAUCUAUCUUACACAAAAACUACAAGAUUUUAUACAAAAAGUCUAAAUGACACGAUGGCGACUUCUUUCGAAAUAACGCAAUUGGGGGAUGCAACAACGAGCCAAAGGACAAAGCAGUGGACGAGGUGGGAGACGCGGCAACAGAGAGGAGAAUGAACACGACGGCAGAGUUACGAAAAGGAACGCCGCAAAUAGAAAUUACGACACGGUAAGGGUGAUGGCACAGUGAGGUGUGACGAUGCGGUGAGAAGGGUGACGAGGGGGUGGCUGCAGAGAGGUUGGAUGGAGUAUGGACAGCCUUAGGGAUCUCUGAAUUAAAGAAGGGUUAUGCAAAUAAAGAUUAAGAGUUUUGGGUUUCUCUAUAUAUGUGUGUGUGAGAAAUGACUAAAAAACAUAUAUGAGAAAUAAACUAUUAAGGAUAAUUCAACGAAAUCAUAAAUUUCGGGGAAUAGCGGAGAUGGGGCGGGGAUCCCGCUCGGGUCGGGUCCCCGCGCCUGCUUCGGGAGAAUUUUGUCCCCCAUCCCAUCCCCACGGAAAAAAUUCCCCACAAUUGGAUCCCCAUUCGGGGCAGUCCCCGCAGGGAUCCCUGCGUCUCGAAAAAUUUUGUCAUCCCUAUUCCCAACAGAAUAUUCCAAGAGCUGAACUUUAUGCAAGCACACACAAACACACACAAUACAAACAAAUAAUGUACAAGUAAGACAAGUAAGACAAUUAGCAAAUAAUUAGGAAAUAUUUACACUUAGGCAUACCAAAGCAAUUAAGCAAACCCAAACAUAUGUAAAUUGAUGCAAACCCUGAGACGAUUUUUAAUAUGAAAACGUUAAUGGAGCGCUGUUAUAGACUGUCAGAUGUCACGUUAAAAUUUAUAAAAUGAUGCAGUUUUAGUUUUGACAUUUAAAUAGCUCAAAAACGGCAUCGUAUCACUUAUUUUGUUACGUAAAAUUUUAAUUAACACCAUUUACGAUGAUGUUUUUGGGUUAUUUGAGUGCGAAAAGUAAAAUGACAUUAUUUUACAAAAUUUAGUGUGACAUCCAGCUGUUCAUGACAGUAUUCCGUUAACGUUUAUAUGUUGAAAAUUGUUUCAAGGACUAAUAUAAAUUAUGUUCACAAAGUUUAGAUAUUAAAUAAAAAAAUUAAAAUUUUAGGAACUAAAUUAAAAAUUGCAUGUAACUUCAAGAAUCCAAUUAAGUAUUAUCUCAAAAAAAUGAAUAGGCAACUCAAUCCAACUGUGGUUACCAAAUUUUAAUUCAAUCCAAAAAUUUUGGUAUGUUGGAUUGGGUCAAAAAAACCACAAAUUCGUUGGUUAGCUCAAAACAAUAGCAACUCCUAAAUUUAAGUUGAAAAAAAGGUUGUGAAAUAGCAAGGAAUUAUCCGAAAGAAUGCAAUGAACGAAUUAUUCUUUUUAGGUUUAAUUACUCUGUUGGUCCUAUAGUUUCACCAAAUUUUUAAUUAGGUCCCUAUACUUUUUUUUCAUUCAAUUGGAUCCUUACACUGCUUUUAAUUUUGUAAUUACGUCCUUUUCAUGUUAAAAAUGAGAUAAGUAACUAACAAAAAAUUAACCAACAUCAAUCAAUAAUCUAAAAAAAAUCAAUACUCAAUUCAUUUUUUUUAAAUUAUUCUUUUAUACUUUUUUUUCUUUUUUCUUCCUCUCAACACCACAAUUUCAUCUACCAUCAAAAGUUAUCCAUCUCCACCAAGUUACUGUACUUUUAUCGGCCACUUACCACCCAUCACCCUAAAUUCUAAAUUUCAAAUCUUAAAUUCUAAAUUCUAAAUUCUAAAUUUUAAAUCUUAAAUAUCAAACCCUAAAUAAUAAAUCUUAAAUCGUAAAUAAUAAAUUCUAAUUUUUAAAUCCUAAACUCUAAAUUCUAAAUAACGUUUGAGUUUUAGAUAUUUUUAUUAUUUCUAAUUUUAAAUAUUUGUUUUUAUUGUGAAUUAUUAAUUAUUUUAUUGGCUAAAAAUUAUUGGUUACGAAAACUUUUUCUUAAACCAUGAAUUGAAAUUUUUUAAUUUUACUUUUGUUUAGACAACAAAUUGAACACAAGAACUAAAAAAAUACUAUUAUAUAACUACUUCUCAACAAAGAAUGUACACUAACGAGAGGAUUGUUUCCCUAUUAUAUAAAAUUGUGUUCGAAUUUAUUGAUCGAAAAUUGAUUUUCGAUAUGAAAGGAAUUGAAUCGAAAGAUAUUGAAUAUAGGCUUUCGAGAAAAUGUGUUUAGGAGGCUAAGUUUGAGAGUUGCUGGCACAGAAGUUGUUUUCGAGUUACUUUGUCGAAAUCGAAGAAGUUAAAUCGAGGAGGAGAUUUGAUUUGAAGGAAGACUUUCGAAGAUUUAGUCGAGUGGUUAAAGAAGUGAGAAUGUUAGUGGAUAAUUAAUCACACGGGAGUAGAUAAUUAAUCACAUGGGGAAUAUCUAUAAUCAUGUAGCGGGAACAGUUACCAAAGGCGGUUGUGUUUUAAAAUUGUAAUUUAUUUUAAUUUUAAUUAAUUGUAAUUAAUGUAAUUUUAAUUGACCGUUAUGUAAGGGCAGCUUAUAAAUACUAGGAAUUUUCAGUGAAAAGGGGUUGGAACUUUUACUCAGAAAAACACUCUAAACACUCUUACAUCCCAGCGUAUUCCUGAAUUUGCGAUCGAGUUUCCUUUUUCUGUAGGGUUCCUUUCACCUUCUUUUAUUCUUUUUAAUUUCAUCCUGUUUGUAUUUUUUCAUAUUUUAUUUAAUCAUAUUCAUUAAGUGUUAUUCAUAUUUCUUUAUUUUUUCUGUUGAAUUUAGUUUUCAGUAUUUUAUCAUUACCAUUUUACAUGAAGAAAUCCUUUAUUUUAAAAGAAAGUAACUUAUUGUUUUCUUUUAAUUUCUUUAAAUUGUUUACAAAAUGUUAAUUUCUGAAUUUUAUUUACUAAUUUAUGAAUUCACUGUAUUUUAAUCCUUCAAAUUUAGUCUAAUCGAAGACACUUUGAUGCACUUAUAAAAAACUGGUACUCGCAUAGAGGAGUUGGUUUCGCUCCCAAACCAUUAGAAUCGAACCAUCAUCGAUUUGCUAAAAAUCGACAAAAUAAAUUGGCACACCCGGUGGGACAGUUUUAAAUCAAAGUGUGUCAAAAGUUACUACUUUCUAGUGUAUGCGAUUAUGAAGUAAGAAGAUCAUUGACAUAGCUGAUGAAUUGUCAAAUGUGAAUGGUGGUUCCUCCACCAAUGAUAGUAUACCAGUAUCCGUACAACAGGCCGACGUGUCUUCACGUUCGGAAGGUGCAAUCAGAACUGAAAGUAUAGUCAUCACGACUAUUGAAAAUGUUUGACGUAAUAUUCGUCCACGUGGCCCUGCGCCACCGUUUCAACCUCCAUUAACUGCUGGUUGGCCCCCUUAUGGCUUGCCUGUUGGUUAUACCCCACCGGUGGGUGGGUUUGUUCCACCUAUUCAAUUUGGAAAUAUAAGUGGAGUAAAUAUUAUGCAAAACCUACAACAACACUCUGAGUAUUCUCGUGAGUAUCACGUGGCUCCACUUCGAAUGCUGCGAGUUCAAUGGCAGCAUAUCGACAACAAGUGGAGGAAAGUCACCAUGACUUGGUUAAUUUAUUGACUCAGCAAAUGACUACAAUUCUGAAUCCUAUGAUGGCCGAUCAUGAAUCGAGAUUCGAGCGUCUUGCUAGACAAGUCGAGAGGAUUGCUUGAAUCGUCGAUUAUGAUGACGGUGAAAGGCAUAAUGCUCGAGGAACUAAUGAGGGGAUGGAAAAUAUUUUUCAAAAUGAAAAUCAUAUUCUAAAUCGAGAAAACCCUCGCAUAGUUCAUCGACAUGAGAAUGAUGAUGAUGUUUUACAUGGUUUGCGUGGUGAUCGUUAUCAGGUCACCCGAAUUGUAGAAGAAGUGUUAAAUCGGGUUGGAUUGAAUGUUGGUUUUAUGAAUCAGCCACAUUUUGUUUAGGCUUUUCCCCAAGUAAUCGAAAUGACUGAAGUGCCAAGAGGGGUAAAAAAUCCGAAAAUAACUUUAAAAUUUGCUAGAGAAGUUGGAGAAUCAACAACUGAACAUGUUGCUCGAUAUCUGAUCGAGAUUGAAAAUUUAGCAAAUGAUAAAAAUUUAAAAAUAAAAUUUUUUCCGUCAUCAUUGACGAAGAAUGCAUUUACAUGGUUUUCGAAUCUUAUACCAAAUUCGAUUAAAACAUGGAAUCAGUUGGAAACUGCUUUUCACGCUCAAUUUUAUCGAGGGAAAAUGAAUGUAGCAGUUACUGAUUUAGUAGCUUUGAAACGUGAAGAUGGUAAAACCAUUGAUGAUUAUUUAAUACGUUUCAAAAAUGCUAGAAGUAGGUGCUAUGUCACAUUGCCUGAGAAUGAGAUAGUGAAAAUAGCAACUAUGGGGUUAGGAUUCUAUAUGCACAGAAAGUUGCUUAAUGUGCAUAUUCCUGAUUUGGCUCAUUUGGCCGAAAAGGUUCGGCAAACUAAGUUAAUAAAAAAGGAAAAAGAAAAACAUAGAACCGAACAGAGGUCAAAAAGUAAACCAUUUAUUCGAAAGGAGAAAGUUGCUUAUGUAACUAUGGAGUCCUCAGAGGAGAAAAUCGAUUUUGAAACAGAAAUCGAUUUGGCCGAACUUAAGAAAGGCCCUCCAUAUGUUUGUUCUUUGUUGAAAAAACUCCCUGGUAGUGAAAAGUCGAAUGAUUAAAAAUUUAAAAGUGGAAAGAAAUAUAGUUUUGAUAUCUCGAAAUCUGAUCAAAUUUUUGAUGUGUUGCUUAAAGAUAGACAAUUGGUUUUGCCUGAGGGUAGAACUUUACUUUCCUUGAAGGAUUUGAAAGGAAAGCCUUAUUGUAAAUUCCAUCAAGCAACAAGUCAUUCAACUAACAUUUGUGUUUGUUUCAGGGAUUUGAUUCAGGAGGCAAUAAUGGAAGGACGUUUGAAAUUUGAUGAUGGCAAAAAGGAAAUAAAGGUCGAUGUAGAUCCUUUCGAAACUGAUGCCAGUUAUGUGGAACCCUGCUUUGAAGUGAAUAUGGUGGGAUGUCUUAUGAUUUUGAUGUGGCUCUUGAUGAUUUCGAGUCACAAGUAAGAGCUGUGUACCCCAGAACGGGGGAUGGUUUGUUGGACUUCUUGGUUUAGCAAAAAAUCAAAGACCGGGACGUAUCGUUGUGUCCACGGUGUAACGCUGUUUUUGAUGCUGAAGCAGCGGCAAUCUUUGAAAAGCAAAGAAUGAAAAAAAAAAUUACCACACAGGGAGGAACAAGCACGUCAGAGACAACCAAUUCGACGUGUAGAAGGUUCUGGUUCGAAAAUUCCUCUACAUGAUGUGAAUACAUAUUUGAGCCGAUCUCAGGCUAUUGGUGUUCAGUGAAUCAGUAACUGUCAAGAAUUUCAAAGGCGUGAUCCCUUAUAUCAACGUAAUCCUCAAUGGGGACACAGAGCGCCGUCUCGAAAUCAAUAUGCAGCUUUUCGAGGGCGAGCCAGAGGAUACCCAAGAGGAAGAGGAGGAAGGAGAAGUUUCAAUCAAAAUAAAAAAACUUCAGAUUGAUACGGAAAAGGAAGCAAGCAAGGGGGAAACUCCUUCAGUGCAUUCCCGAAUUGUCUUUCCUUCUGAUAGAGAGACUUAUCCUAAGGAGAUUCCAUCGCCAGCUAAGAUGGACAAAGGAAAGGCAAUUGCUCAGUCUUCUGGGGUAGAUAAACAUAAAGAUGUUGAUAUCGAUGAAGAAUACUUCGAUGAAGGAGAUGAUGACAUGGUGGGGAUGAUUUCGAUAAUCCCUACCGAGUACCUUGGGAAGUGUGAAGGUAAUUGAUGAGGGGAUAAUUUAUACGUUUUUUGGCAUUAUUUUUAGUAUGUUUUAAGUAUAUUUUAGUUAGUUUUUAUUAUGUUUUUAUUAGUUUUUAAAUAAAAAUCACUCUUCCGGACUUUACUAUGAGUUUGUGUGUUUUUCUAUGAUUUUAGGUAUUUUCUGGCUGAAAUUGAGGGACCUGAGCAAAAAUCUUAUUUAGAGGCUGAAAAAGGACUGCAGAUGCUAUUGGAUUCUGACCUCCCUGCACUCAAAAUGGAUUUUCUGGAUCUACAGAAGCCUAAUUGGUGCGUUCUCAAUUGCGUUGGAAAGUAGACAUCCUGGGCUUUCCAGAAAUAUAUAAUAGUCCAUACUUUGCCCAAGAUUUGAUGGCCCAAACACGCGUUCCAAGUCAGCUCAAUAAUUCUAGCGUUUAACACCGGAACUGGCACAAAAGCUGGCGUUUAACUCCAAGAAAAGUCUCUACACAUGGAAGCUUUAAUGUUCAGUCCAAGCACAUACCAAGUGGGCCCGGAAGAAGAUUUUUGCAUUCAUUACCUAUUUCUGUAACCCUAGGCUACUAGUUUUCUAUAAAUAGGACCUUUUGCUAUUGUAUUAUCAUCUUGGUUCUUCAGGUUCCCUCUCUGGGGCCGAAGCCAAUGACCACCAUUAUCACUUUUGUAUUCUCAACGGUGGAGUUUCUACACACCAUAGAUUAAGGUGUGGAGCUCUGAUGUUCUUCAUGAAUUAAUACAAGUACUAUUGUUUUUCUAUUCAACUCAAGUCUAUUUCUUCUCCAAGAUAUUCAUUCACACCCAAGAACAUGAUGAAUGUGAUGAUUAUGUGACACUCAUCACCAUUCUCACCUAUGAACGCGUGACUGACAACCACUUCCGUUCUACAUGCAAACAAGCUUGAAUGUGUAUCUCUUGGGUUUCUAAUCUAAGAUUGGAACCUUCGUGGUAUAGGCUAGAAUUAUUGGCGGCCAUUCUUGAGAUCCGGAACGUCUAAACCUUGUCUGUGGUAUUCUGAGUAGGAUCUGGGAAGGGAUGACUGUGACGAGUUUCAAACUCGCGAGUGUUGGGCGUGUGACAGACGCAAAAGGAUCAACGGAUCCUAUUCCAACAUGAUCGAGAACCGACAGAUGAUUAGCCGUGCGGUGACAGCGCAUUUGGAACAUUUUCACUGAGAGGACGGGAAGUAGCCAUUGACAACGGUGAUGUCCAACAUAAAGCUUGCCAUGGAAAGGAGUAUGAAUGAUUGGAAGAAGGCAAUAGGAAAGCAGAGGUUCAGAAGGAACAAAGCAUCUUCAUACUAGGGGUGGCAAUAUGUACCCUACCCGCGGGUAUCCAACCCGACCCCAUCCGGUCGGGUAGGGUUGCCAACCCGAUCCGCAGCGGGUAGGGUAGGGUGCGGGUAGAGUUUUCGUGCGGGUUGAGCCUCAACCCUACCCGACCAACCCGCACCCUAUAUAUGUAUAUGUUAUAUACUUGUAUAAAAAAUAUUUUAAGUAGAUGUUGAACUAAAGACUUCUCACUAAAUACAAAAGAUCCUUAGUCAUUAAAAGAAGAUCAUUAAUUGAUAAUUUAAUAAACUUUUUUUUACAUAAAAUUCAGUUUUAUUUUAAAUUAUUAUCAAGUUAUAUAAUAACGUUGCAUUUUUUUGUAACCCGCGGGUAGGGUCGGGUACCCGCGGGUUAAGAGCGGGUAGGGUUAGGGUUGAGAUAUUCUCAACUCGCGGGUAGGGUAGGGUUGAGUUUAUAUAAAAAUCUCAACCCGCGGGUAGGGUUAGGGUUGACUCCAAACCCUACCCUACCCUACCUAUUGCCACCCUUACUUCAUACGCUUAUCUGAAAUUCCUACCAAUGAAUUACAUAAGUAUCUCUAUCUUUACUUUAUGUUUUAUUUAUAUUUUAAUUAUCAAUCCUCCAUAACCAUUUGAAUCCGUCUGACUGAGAUUUACAAGAUGACCAUAGCUUGCUUCAAGCCGACAGUCUCCGUGGGAUCGACCCUUACUCACGUAAGGUAUUACUUGGACGACCCAGUACACUUGCUGGUUAGUUGUGCGGAAUUGUGACAAAGUGUGAUUCACGUUUGAGAGCUCCAAGUCUUUGGCGCCAUUGUUGAUGAUCACAAUUUCGUGCACCAAGUUUUUGGCGCCGUUGUCGGGGAUUGUUCGAGUUUGGACAACUGACGGUUCAUCUUGUUGCUUAGAUUAGGUAAUUUUACUUUUUAUUUUCGAAAAAAAAAAUUUUAUUCUGUUCUUCAGAGUUUUUAAGGAUGAAUUCUAGAGUUUCAUGAUGAUUUGUUGAAGUCUGGCUGGCUGUGAAACCAUGUUUAAUCUUUUGGACCGAGGUUUCAACUUAUCAUCACAAGAGCUUGAUGAUUUCUAUCAAUCUUGCUGUUGAAAGUAAUGAUCUGCUAAAGCUUGGCUGGCCAUUGGCCAUGUCUAGUGUUUUAGACCGGAGCUUCCACUGAAAGCUUGGAUGGCUAGUAUGCUAUGUCUAAUUCCUGGACCGGAGUCUUAGACUAACAUUGCAAUGAUUCCUGGAAUUCUUAUUAAAAAUUUUGAAUCCCUUUAUUUUCUUUUCCACUCAAUUUUCGAAAAACCACAAAAAAAUUUAUAAAAUUUUAAAAAUAAAAAAUAUUUUAUAUUUCUUGUUUGAGUAUAGUAUCAAUUUUUAAGUUUGGUGUCAAUUGCAUGACUUUCUUCUUCUUACAUUUUUCGAAUAUACACAUAUUGUUCUUCAUUGAUCUUCAAGUUGUUCUUGAUGAUUUCAUUGCUCUGAUCUUUAAAUUCUCUUGUUUUGUGUGUUUUGUUGUUUCUCAUAUGCAUUCUCAAUUUGUUAGUGUCUCUUAUAUGAAAAUUUUUAAGUUUGGUGUCCUGCAUGCAUUGUUUGUUUGAUUUGAGUUUCCUAAGAUUAGUUGUAUUUCGAUUGUUUCUCAUCAUUGAAAAAUUCAAAAAAAAAAUUUCAAAAUUAUGUCUUGUCAAGUCAAUAAUACAGAGAAUUGAAGAUUCAGAACAUUCAGCAGAGGAAUCAAACAGAAAAAGCUGGGCGUUCAAAACGCCCAGUGAAGAAGGAAAACUGGCAUUUAAACGCCAGAAUGAAUACCAUUCUGGGCAUUUAACGCCAGAAGGAUACUAGAGGGAAGAUUUUGUUUUUAAUUCAAAUCUUUUUCAAAUCAUAUCUUUUCAAUCAUAUCUCUUCAAAAUCAAUUUCUUUCCAUUUUUUUAUUAUUUUCGAAAAUCCUUGCUACUAUUAAUGAUUUACUUCAAAAUUUUCAAGUUGUUACUUGCCUAUUAAGAAAAGAUCAAAUUUUAAAUUUUAAGAAUCAUAUCUUUUAAUUUCUUAUUAGUCAAGUAAUCAACUUUAUUUUUAAAACUUUCUUUUUUUAUUUGAUUUUUAAUCAUAUCUUCUCAAUCACAUCUUUUCAAUCACAUCUUUUUCAAAAUUAACUCUCAAUCAUAUCUUUUUGAUUUCUAAUUUCAAAAUCUUUUUAAAAAAUCACUUAAUUUCUUUCCCAAUCUUAAUUUUCUAAAAUCUCAAUCAAAAUUUCAAAUUUCUUUCAAAAUCUUUUUAAUUUAUUUUCGAAAAUUCUUCCCCUCUUUUCACAUUCUUCUAUUUAAGGGACUAACACUCCUCUUCAAGGUGCAAUUCGAACUCUAUUCCUCUUGAUAAGUUCGAAUUCUCUUCUAUCUACCUCCUCCUUCUAUUCUUCUUUUCCUCUGACACCUCAAGGAAUCUCUAUAUUGUGACAUAGAGGAUUCCCUACUUUCUUGUUCUCUUCUCUUUCAUAUGAGCAGGAGCAAAGAUAAAGGCAUACUUGUUCAAGCUGAUCCUGAACCUGAAAGGACCUUGAAGAGAAAGCUAAGAGAAGCCAAAGCACAAUUCUCUCUAGAGGGCCUAAUAGAGCUUUUCAAAGAAGAAGAAAUAAUGGCAGCUGAAAACAACAAUGCCAACAAUGCAAGGAAGGUGCUUGGUGACUUUACUGCACCUACUCCCGACUUCUAUGGGAGAAGCAUCUCAAUCCCUGCCAUUGGAGCAAACAACUUUGAGCUUAAGCCUCAAUUAGUUUCUAAUGCAACAGAAUUGCAAGUUUUAUGGACUUCCAUCGGAAGAUCCUCAUCAGUUCUUAGCUGAAUUCUUGCAAAUCUAUGACACUGUCAAGACCAAUGGGGUUGAUCCUGAGGUCUACAGACUUAUGCUCUUCCCUUUUGCUGUAAGAGACAGAGCUAGGACAUGGUUAGACUCACAACCUAAAGAAAGCCUGAACUCUUGGGAAAAGCUAGUCAAUGCCUUCUUGGCAAAGUUCUUUCCACCUCAAAAAUUGAGUAAGCUUAGAGUGGAAGUCCAAACCUUCAGACAGAAAGAAGGUGAAUCCCUCUAUGAAGCUUGGGAAAAAUACAAGCAAUUGAUCAGAAGGUGCCCUUCUGACAUGCUUUCAGAAUGGAGUAUCAUAGGUAUAUUCUAUGAUGGUUUGUCUGAACUAUCCAAGAUGUCAUUGGAUAGCUCUGCUGGAGGAUCUUUUCAUCUGAAGAAGACGCCUGCAGAAGCUCAAGAACUCAUUGAAAUAGUUGCAAAUAACCAAUUCAUGUACACUUCUGAAAGGAAUCCUGUGAAUAAUGGGAAAAAUAAGAAGAAAGGGGUUCUUGAGAUUGAUACUCUGAAUGCCAUACUGGCUCAGAACAAAAUAUUGACUCAACAAGUCAAUAUGAUUUCUCAGAGUCUGUCUGGAAUGCAAGCAUCGGCAGUCAGUACCAAAGAAGCUUCAUCUGAGGAAGAAGCUUAUGAUCCUGAGAACCCAGCAAUGGAAGAGGUGAAUUACAUGGGAGAUUCCUAUGGAAACACCUAUAAUCCUUCAUGGAAAAAUCAUCCAAAUCUCUCAUGGAAGGACCAACAGAGGCCUCAACAAGGCUUCAAUAACAAUAAUGGUGGAAGAAAUAGGUUUAGCAAUGGCAAACCUUUUCCAUCAUCUUUUCAGCAACAAACAGAGAAUUCUAAGCAGAACCACUCUGACUUAGAAACCAUAGUCUCUGAUCUAAUUAAAACCACUCAAAGUUUCAUGACUGAAACAAGGUCCUCCAUUAGAAAUUUGGAGGCACAAGUGGGUCAGCUGAGUAAGAAAAUUACUGAACUCCCUCCUAGUACUCUCCCAAGCAAUACAGAAGAGAAUCCAAAAAGAGAGUGCAAGACCAUAACCACAACCCACACGGCCGAACCUGGAGAGGAGGAAGAGGCAGUGAUCUCCACUGAGGAAGACCUCAAUGGACGACCACUGGCCUCCAUGGAGUUCCCUGAUGAGGAACCAUGAGAAUCUGAGGCUCACACAGAGACCAUAGAGAUUCCAUUGAAUUUACUCCUGCCAUUCAUGAGCUCUGAUGAGUAUUCUUCCUCUGAAGAGGAUGAAGAUGUUACUGAAGAGCAAGUUGCUAAGUACCUUGGAGCAAUCAUGAAGCUAAACGCCAAGUUAUUUGGUAAUGAGACUUGGGAGAAUGAACCUCCAUUGCUCACUAAAGAACUGGAUGACUUGACUAGGCAGAAAUUACCUCUAAAGAGACAAGAUCCUGGAAAAUUCUCAAUUCCUUGUACCAUAGGUACCAUGACCUUUGAGAAGGCUCUGUGUGACCUGGGGUCAAGUAUAAACCUUAUGCCUCUCUCUGUAAUGGAGAAGCUAGGGAUCAUUGAGGUACAAGCUGCUAAAAUCUCACUAGAGAUGGCAGACAAUUCAAAGAAAUAGGCUUAUGGACUUGUAGAGGAUGUCUUGGUAAAGGUUGAAGGACAAUACAUCCCUGCUGACUUUAUAAUCCUAGAGACUGGGAAGUGUAUGGAUGAAUCCAUCAUCCUUGGCAGACCCUUCCUAGCCACAGCAAAAGCUGUGAUUGAUGUUGACAGGGGAGAAUUGAUCAUUCAAGUGAAUGAAGACUCCCUUGUGUUUAAAGCUCAAGGAUAUCCCUCUGUAACCAUGGAGAGGAAGCAUGAAGAGCUUCUCUCAAUACAGAGUCAAACAGAGCCCCCACAGUCAAACUCUAAGUUUGGUGUUGGGAGGCCACAACCAAACUUUAAGUUUGAUGUUGAACCCCCACAUUCAAACUCUAAGUUUGGUGUUGGGAGGUUCCAACAUUGCUCUAAACAUCUGUGAGGCUCCAUGAGAGCCCACUGUCAAGCUAUUGACAUUAAAGAAGCGCUUGUUGGGAGGCAACCCAAUCUUUAAUUAUCUAUGUUAAAUUUCUAUUUUAUUUUGUUAUUUUAUGUUUUCUGUAGGUUGAUGAUCAUGUGAAGUCACAAAAACAAUUGAAAAAGCAAAAGCAGAGUGAAAAAUAGAAUUAAAAACCGAACACCCUGGAGGAGAAGCUUACUGGCAUUUAAACGCCAGUAAGGGUAGCAGAAUGGGCGUUAAACGCCCAGUCUGGCACCAUUCUGGGCGUUUAACGCCAGAAAUGGGCACCAAACUGGCAUUUAACACCAGGAAUGGGCAAGAAGUUGGCGUUAAACGCUAGAAAUGGGCAGCAACCUGGCCGUCUGGCGUUUAACGCCAGGAUUGGCAGAAAGGGGCAUUUUUGCACGCCACUUGGUGCAGGGAUGAGAUAUUCUUGACACCUCAGGAUCUGUGGACCCCACAGGAUCCCCACCUCCCCCACCUCUCUCUCUCUUCUUCACCCAUUCACCAAUCAUCUUAAUAUCUCUUCCCCAAAACCCCUCACCUAUCAAAUCCCACCAUUCUCUUCACCACUAACAUCCAUCCUUCAUAAAACCCCACCUACCUCACCAUUCAAAUUAAAACCACUUUCCCACCCAAACCCACCCAUAAUGGCCGAACCAUACCCCCCUCUCCACUCCUAUAUAAACACAUCUUCACUCCUUAAUUUUCAUACAACCUAAACACUACUUCUCCCCCUUGGCCGAAACACAAAGCCCCUCCAUCUCCUCUAUUUCUUCUUCUUCUACUCUCUUCUUUCUUCUUUUGCUCAAGUACGAGCAAACCUUCUAAGUUUGGUGUGGUAAAGCUAAAGCUUUUUGUUUUUCCAUAACCAUUUAUGGCACCAAAGGCCGGAGAAACCUCUAGAAAGAGGAAGGGGAAGGCAAAAGCUUCCACCUCCGAGUCAUAGGAGAUGGAGAGAUUCCUUUCAAGGGUGCAUUAAGACCACUUCUAUGAAGUUGUGGCCAAGAAGAAGGUGAUCCCCGAGGUCCCUUUUAAGCUCAAAAAGGGCGAAUAUCCGGAGAUCCGACAUGAGAUCCGAAAAAGAGGUUGGGAAGUUCUCACCAACCCCAUUCAACAAGUCGGGAUCUUAAUGAUUCAAGAGUUCUAUGCCAAUGCAUGGAUCACCAAGAACCAUGAUCAAAGUGUGAACCCGGACCCUAAGAAUUGGCUUACAAUGGUUCGGGGGAAAUACUUAGAUUUUAGUCCGAAAAAUGUAAGGUUGGCAUUCAACUUGCCCAUGAUGCAAGGAGAUGCACACCCAUACACUAGAAGGGUCAACUUUGAUCAAAGGUUGGACCAAGUCCUCAUGGACAUCUGUGAAGAGGGCGUUCAAUGGAAGAGAGAUUCAAGAGGGAAGUUGGUUCAACUAAGAAGGCAUGGCCUCAAACCCGUGGCUAGAGGAUGGUUGGAGUUCAUCCAACGCUCGAUCAUUCCCACUAGCAAUCGGUCUGAAGUUACUAUAGACCGGGCUAUCAUGAUUCAUAGCAUUAUGAUUAGAGAGGAAGUAGAAGUUCAUGAGGUUAUAUCCCAAGAACUCUACAAGGUGGCGGACAAGUCCUGCACUUUGGCAAGGUUAGCCUUCCCUCAUCUCAUUUGUCACCUUUGCAAUGCGGUUGGAAUUGACAUAAAGGGAGACAUUCUCAUUGAUGAGGACAAGCCAAUCACUAAGAAAAGGAUGGAGCAAACAAGAGAUCCCACUCAUGGACAAGAGCAUGAGAAAAUUCCUCAUCAUGAAAUCCCUGAGAUGCCUCAAGGGAUGCAAUUUUCCCCAUAAAAUUAUUGGGAGCAAAUCAACACCUUCCUAGGAGAAUUAAGUUCAAAUAUGGGACAACUAAGGGUGGAACACCAAGAGUAUUCCAUCCUCCUCCAUGAAAUUAGAGAAGAUCAAAGAAUCAUGAGAGAGGAGCAACAAAGGCAAGGAAGAGACAUUGAGGAGCUCAAGCACUCCAUAAGAUCUUCAAGAGGAAGAACUAGUCGCCAUCACUAAGGUGGACCAGUUCUUUAAUUUCCUUGUUCCUUAUUUUUCUGUUUUUCAAAUUUUUAUGCUUUAUGUUUAUUUAUGUUUGUGUCUUUAUUACAUGAUCACUAGUGUCUAAGUGUCUAUGCCUUAAAGCAAUGAAAAUGAAUCCAUCACCGUUCUUAAAUGAAAAAUGUUUUUAAUUGAAAAAGAAAAAGAAGUGCAUGAAUUUCAAAUUUUAAAACAGUUUAGUUAUUUUGAUGUGGUGGCAAUACUUUUGUCGUUCUGAAUGAAUGCUUGAACAGUGCAUAUUUUUGAAAUUGUUGUUCAAUGAAUGUUAAAAUUGUUGGCUCUUGAAAGAAUGAUGGAAAAGGAGAAAUGUUAUUUGAUAAUCUGAAAAAUCAUAAAAUUGAUUCUUGAAGCAAGAAAAGACAGUGAAAAGCUUGCAGAAAAAAAAAGAUAUAUGCGGAAAAAAAAAGCCAAUAGCCCUUUAAACCAAAAGGCAAGAGUAAUAGAAAGGAUCCAAGGCUUUGAGCAUCAGUGGAUAGGAGGGCCCACAGGAAUAAAAUCCAGGCCUAAGUGGCUAAACCAAGCUGUCCCUAACCAUGUGCUUGUGGCGUAAAGGUGUCAAGUGAAAACUUGAGACUGAGCGGUUAAAGUCGUGGUCCAAAAGCAAAAAGAGUGUGCUUAAGAUCUCUGGACACCUCUAAUUGGGGACUCUAGCAAAGCUGAGUCACAAUCUGAAAAGGUUCACCCAGUUUUGUGUCUGUGGCAUUUAUGUAUCCGGUGGUAAUACUGGAAAACAAAAUGGUUAGGGUCACGGCCAAGACUCAUAAAGUAGCUGUGUUCAAGAAUCAACAUACUUAACUAGGAGAAUCAAUAACACUAUCUGGAUUCUGAGUUCCUAUAGAAGCCAAUCAUUCUGAACUUCAAAGGAUAAAGUGAGAUGCCAAAACUGUUCAGAAGCAAAAAGCUAAAAGCCCCGCUCAUCUAAUUAAUACUGAUAUUCAUAGAUGUUUUUGGAAUUCAUUGUAUAUUCUCUUCUUUUUAUCCUAUUUGAUUUUCAGUUGCUUGGGGACAAGCAACAAUUUAAGUUUGGUGUUGUGAUGAGCGGAUAAUUUAUACGCUUUUUGGCAUUGUUUUUAGUAUGUUUUUAGUAUAUUUUAGUUAAUUUUUAUUAUGUUUUUAUUAGUUUUUAAAUAAAAAUCACUCUUCUGGACUUUCCUAUGAGUUUUUGUGUUUUUCUAUGAUUUCAGGUAUUUUCUGGCUGAAAUUGAGGGACCUGAGCAAAAAUCUGAUUCAGAGGCUGAAAAAGGACUGCAGAUGCUGUUGGAUUCUGACCUCCUUGCACUCGAAGUGCAUUUUCUGGAGCUACAGAAGCCCAAUUGGCGCGCUCUCAAUUGCGUUGGAAAUUAGACAUCCUGGGCUUUUCAGAAAUAUAUAAUAGUCCAUACUUUGCCCAAGAUUUGAUGGCCCAAACAGGCGUUCCAAGUCAGCUCAAGAAUUCUGGCGUUUAACGCCGGAACUGGCACAAAAGCUGGAGUUAAACGGCCAAACUGGUACAAAAGUUGGCGUUUAACUCUAAGAAAAGUCUCUACACAUGGAAGCUUCAAUGCUCAGCCCAAGCACACACCAAGUGUGUCCGGAAGAAGAUUUCUGCAUUAAUUACCUAUUUCUGUAACCCUAGGCUACUAGUUUUCUAUAAAUAGGACCUUUUGCUAUUGUAUUAUCAUCUUGGUUCUUCAGGUUCCCUCUCUGGGGCCGAAGCCAAUGACCACCAUUAUCACUUUUGUAUUCUCAACGGUGGAGUUUCCACACACCAUAGAUUAAGGUGUGGAGCUCUACUGUUCUUCAUGAAUUAAUACAAUUACUAUUAUUUUUCUAUUCAACUCAAGUCUAUUUCUUCUCCAAGAUAUUCAUUCGCACCCAAGAACAUGAUGAAUGUGAUGAUUAUGUGACACUCAUCACCAUUCUCACCUAUGAACGCGUGACUGACAACCACUUCCGUUCUACAUGAAAACAAGCUUGAAUGUGUAUCUCUUGGGUUUCUAAUCUAAGAUUGGAACCUUCGUGAUAUAGGCUAGAAUUAUUGGCGGCCAUUCCUGAGAUCCAGAACGUCUAAACCUUGUCUGUGGUAUUCUGAGUAGGAUCUGGGAAGGGAUGACUGUGACGAGCUUCAAACUCGCGAGUGUUGGGCUUGUGACAGACGCAAAAGGAUCAAUGGAUCCUAUUCCAACAUGAUCGAGAACCGACAGAUGAUUAGUCGUGCGGUGACAGCGCAUUUGGAACAUUUUCACUGAGAGGAUAGGAAGUAGCCAUUGACAACGAUGAUUAUUACUUGGACGACCCAGUACACUUGCUGGUUAGUUGUGCGGAAUUGUGACAAAGUGUGAUUCACGUUUGAGAGCUCCAAGUCUUUGGCGCCAUUGUUGAUGAUCACAAUUUCGUACACCAAGUUUUUGGCGCCGUUGCCGGGGAUUGUUCGAGUUUGGACAACUGACGGUUCAUCUUGUUGCUUAGAUUAGGUAAUUUUACUUUUUAUUUUCAAAAAAAAAUUUCUAUUCUGUUCUUCAGAGUUUUUAAGAAUGAAUUCUAGAGUUUUAUGAUGAUUUGUUGAAGUCUGGCUGGCUGUGAAGCCAUGUCUAAUCUUUUGGACCGAGGUUUCAACUUAUCAUCACAAGAGCUUGAUGAUUUCUAUCAAUCUUGCUAUUGAAAGUAAUGAUCUGCUAAAGCUUGGCUGGCCAUUGGCCAUGUCUAGUGUUUUGGACCGGAGCUUCCACUGAAAGCUUGCUGGUUAGUAUGCCAUGUCUAAUUCCUAGACCGGAGUCUUAGACUAACAUUGCAAUGAUUCCUGGAAUUCUUAUUAAAAACUUAUUUGGCCAAGGCCCCAAUUAUGGUGAAUGUUCGUCCAUUUGAACCUUUAAAAUUCUAUAUUGCAGCAUCUAAGAAUUCGAUUGGAUGUAUGUUACCCUAAGAUGAUGAAAAUGGGCAUGAACGUGCAGUUUAUUACCUUAGUUGAGUCUUAACUGAUAUCGAAACAAUGUAUUCACCGACUAAAAAGUUAUGUUUGUCAUUAUAUCAUGCUUGUAUGAAACUAAAGUGUUAUAUGGUGGCUAAAUCGGUAAAGGUAAUAGCGCAGACUGAUGUUAUUAAGUAUAUGCUUAGUUUCCCUAUGUUAAGGGGGCGUUUGGGAAAAUGGAUGUUAGCAUUAAUAGAAUUCGACUUGCAAUAUGUCCCAGUAAAAGCUAUUAAAGGACAGGUCAUUACAGACUUUCUUGUGGAUAAUUCAAAAGGUCUGAAUGACCAGGGGGCAAAUAUUAUAGAUAUAAAGGUCAAUUAUUGGAAAUUGUAUUUUGAUGGAUCUAAGCACAAAGAUGGUGCAGGAGUUGGAAUCCUUAUUAUUUCACCUGAGGGUGUUCCAUCAGAAUUUUUGUUUGAAUUGAAGUAUCCUUAUUCUAAUAAUGUCGCUGAAUAUGAGGCUUUAAUUUUAGGUCUCGAGAUUUUAAUUGACAAAGGAGCUUUAGAGGUUCAAAUUCUAAGAGAUUCACAGUUGGUUUUAAAGCAGUUAUUAAAGGAAUUUAAAUGUAACAAUGAAACGUUACAGAAAUAUUUAGUAACUGCCUGGGAAAUGUUAACCUUUUUUCAGAAGGUUUCUUUGGUACUGAUGAGUUUGGAAAACUCCUAUUUAAUUUUGAUGAUGAACAAACAUUAUUGAAAUAUUUAAUUACAAAAUUAUUAAUUUGAUUUCACUUAACAUAUGUUAAUUAAUAAUUUUGUGGUGCAGAUUUUACCUUGGGCCGGAAAAUAAAAAUGUUGCUAGCCCAAAUUAAAAAUCAGCCUUGCUGCAUGUGUUAUAUUUAGUGGCUGAAUUUUUACUGAUGGGCCAAGCUCAAUAUUAUUAUAGCCAAGCCCAUAUUUAAUUUUGAUGAAUGCUUCCUAUGCUUGAUCCGAAAUCAAAUUUAUCAAGAAAGCAAAUGUUAUCAUUUGGGCCAGAUUAAAUUUUAAUGCUACCAAGCCCAACAUUAUUUUGAUGAAAGUUUCCAAGCUUGGUCCGAAACCAAGGUUAAAUGAAAGCUAAAUGGCUUCAUGCUUUCCAACGGAUUCCAUCUCUUUGUUAAGAAUGGAUUUCAAAUUUUAAUAUGUUAGCAUUGGAAACAUGAGAGAGAACUUGACUUUGAUUUGAUGGGAAUCAUUAUGAUUAAUGCUAUACGCUACUCAAAGCAAGGGAAGUAAAAAGCAAUCUAUCAACUUGUUUCAUUUUCAUUUAAUUGCUUUUACUUUAACUUCACAUUCUCUCUCAUCUCUCUCUUCUUCUUCUUUCGGUCAUUAUCCAGGAAACAAUGGAAACUGUGCUCAUCAACAAAGAAAAGGAAGAAGUUGCAUGCAUCAAGACCAUCAAGCUAAUGAUGGCAAGAAAACAUACUAAAAUAAAAAAUGAGCUGUGGCUGAGAUAUUCACUAUAUUUGGUUAGAUUUGGUGAUGUAUCUUGAGCCUUUCAUGCUCAAAAAUGGACGAAGAAGAUUCGGCCAGCAUGGAGGAGAUUCUUGAAGCAUGGCUUGUCUUUGAUUCUGUUUAACCACCACAGGAAGUAGCUAGAGUGGCGAAGUGAUGGUUGAGGCAGAGAUUGAAGCAGAUGAAGUCAUUAUCAUCAUGAAGCAUCAAGGGCCAGAAAUCCAUCUUGGAGAGCAAGCCAAGGAUGGAGAGCUCGGAUUGAUGAAGGGUGAUGAUCAAGAAAGGUCCAGAGGUAAUUGCAUGUUGGGUUUUACAUGGUUAUUUCUUCUCUCUCUAUGUGGCCGAACCGGUUCGGUUUGUUGAAGGAGGAAGAAGUUGGUUCAGUUUUGGCUUCAAUAAGUGGAGGCUCCCCUCUUCUAUAAUAAGGGUGGACAGCCACUGUUUGGAGCAAGGAGUAAGAUUUGAGAGUGCAAGGCACAGAAGUCUCAAAGCUACCUGAGCUAACAGUUUUCUCUUCUCCUUCAAUGUAUUCUGUUUUGUAAUUUUCUGUUUAAUUUUGUCAUGUCUUGAGUCUCAUGGAAAAAGGCAAACAGUGAGGUUUGUAUGAAAAAGCCAUAGAGCGGAAAAAGGCAGAGAGUGCAAAAUUAAAAGAAAAAGCCAUAGAUGUCUUAGAGUUCCUUUGUUCAUCUAUGUUGUGUUUCAUGAUUCUGUGGGAAUCCCCUUGUAAGUUGGGUUAGCAAUUUACAAGUUGUAAUCAGAUUGAUUAUAGUGAAAUUCCAUCAUGUUUGUGAUGGAGACUGGAUGCAGGCUGCACUGCACUUAGCAGCUGAACCAGGAUAUAUUUGGGUGUAAUCUUUCUUCUCUCCAACUCCAUUUCUGAUUUCUACUGCACAAGAGCAAAAACUAAAAUGUCUCGUGCCAAGUGACGAGACAAAACAAAAAGUCUCGUGGCAAGUGACGAGCAAAAACAAAAAGUCUCGUGUCCAGAGACGAGCUAAAACAGAAAAGUCUCCUCUGAGUUCAGCAAGCAUUAGCAACAGAAAAAGGGGGCUAAGAUUCAACCCCCCCUUCUUUUAGCCACUGAAACCAUCAGCUACAUAUCCCUAGAAUUCAUAAUGAAAUUGCUAAUGAAUUGUCCCAAAUUGCUUCAAAAUAUCGGAUUAGCCCGAAAACUGUUAGAAAAUUUUCUAGUAUCCAUCAAAUUUUAGUACCUGCAAGUAAAAGAGAAGUGUUGUGUAUGGAUGAAUGGGAGGAUUCUGAUUGGAGAAAGCUCAUUGCUCAAUAUUUGAAAGAUCCCAAUACUGCAGUUGAUAGAAAAAUUAAGUUACGGGCAAUGAAUUUUGUUUUAUUGGCUGAUGAGUUAUAUAAAAAAGGAAUUGAUGGAAGUUUGUCGAGAUGUUUAGGUCGAGAAGAUCAGAAUGUUGCUCUGGGCGAGGUUCAUAAUGGAAUUUGUGGUGCUCAUCAGGCAGGAAGGAAAAUGAGAUGGGUGUUAUCUCGAAAUCAUGUAUAUUGGCCGUCUAUGAUAAAAGAUUGUGUUGAUUAUGCAAAAGCAUGUCAGGAAUGUCAGAAACAUGGUUCGAUACAACAAAUUCCAGCAACUGAGUUACAUUCGAUAAUAAAGCCAUGGCCAUUUAGAGGUUGGGUUUUGGAUCUAAUUGGCUUGAUUUAUCCUCCUUCGUCGAGACAACAUAAGUUUAUCUUAGUGGCUAUUGAUUAUUUUACGAAGUGAGUUGAGGCUAUUCCGUUAGUAGAAGCUGGGCAAACUGAGAUAAUUGACUUUAUUGAGGAAAAUAUUAUUCAUCGAUUUGGAAUUCCUCAAACAUUAAGUACUGACCAAGGAACUAUGUUUACUGGUCAAAGAAUUAAAAACUUUGCAGCUUCGAGGAAUAUUAGUAUGGUCACUUCGACUCCUUAUUAUGCACAAGCUAACGGCCAAGUUGAAGCAGCAAACAAAAUAUUGAUAGGCUUAAUUAAAAAGCAUAUUGGGAAUAGGCCUCGAACAUGGCAUGAAACUUUAAGUCAAGUAUUAUGGGCUUAUCGAAAUUCACCAAGAGGUUCGACAGGAACUUCACCAUAUAAAUUAGUAUAUGGUCAUGAUGUAGUGUUACCAUUGGAAAUUAAUUUGAAUACUUUAAGGGUAACGAAACAAAAUGAUUUGCCGGUCGAUGAUUAUUGGAAUGCAAUGUUUGAUGAAUUAAAUGAAUUAGAUUCAGAACGAAUCUUGGCAUUAGAGAAUAUAAUUCGACAGAAGGAAAGUAUUGCUUGAAGUUAUAAUCAUCGAAUUUCUAGAAAAUCUUUCCAAACAGGCGAAUUGGUUUUGAAAGUUAUUUUACCAAUGGAAAAGAAAUCGAGAUUUCUUGGUAAGUGGUCCCAUAGUUGGGAAGGUCCUUUUCAAGUAAUAGGGACAUAUUCUGGAAAUGCUUAUCAAAUUAAAGAUAUCGAGUCAGGAAAGGUGAUUAGCUCAAUUAAUGAAAAAUAUUUAAAACUUUUCAUUGUUGGCAAACAUAGAAAAUCCAACAUGCAUAAGGUUUAAAAAAAGACAAAAGUCAUUAUAAAAAAAGAAAAGGUUUAAGACGCCAGUAAUUUAGCCAGAACAAAGCGUAGUUUGGUUCUUUUGCUUUCCAAAGUUGUGAGCAUCCUAGCUAGUUUGUUUAGAUUUAUCAAUCUGGAUCUCCUCAAGCUGUUGUUUGACUUUUUCUCGCUCAGUGUCGAUUGAGACAAGCUGUUAGAUAAGGAGAUGUUCUUGCUGAGCUGCAAUCAAAGGUUUAGCCAAGGUAGCCCAAUUCUGGCGGAGAGUAGCGAGUUGUUCUUGAAUUAAAGCUAAUUCCGCUUCGAGUCGUGCCUCUUCCUGAUCAUGAAAGGCUUGGACAGAAAUAGCACUGGCAAUCUUUAAAUUAAACUCAUCACGAGCAGCUUUGAUUAGUUGACCAGUUGCUUGAAAAUUUUCAAUUCUGGAUAUGGUUGUGGCUUCUUGAUUUUCAAUUUCUUGAAAUUGAAAAUGGAAUGUGACACUUUCUUCAAUGAGUUGUUUAAAUCCUUGAAUUAAAUCAGAAUAGGGAAUGUUGGUUGGGAUUUUAAAAGAGGAGCUUAGAAGAGAGGUCAAAAGUUGAUUAAGGAUUGGGUCAUUAACCCACGCGACAGGAGGAUGAUCCAAGAGCUUGAUGAGCAAUCGAAGUUGUUUCCGAGUAUCAGGAUCUAAUUCGAUUAGAGGUCUUGCAGAAACUGGACUUGAGAUGACUGGAACAGGUAUUGGCACUUUGGUCCCCUAGAUGAUUUUAUCCAAAAUAGAAGUCAAGUCAUCCAAGGUAGCACUUGAUGGAGUGGUGGGGAUGAUUGACGUGUUUGGUUUUGGUCCUGGAGGAGUUUGAAGUUGUGCCAAGUCUAAAGAUGUUGGUUGCAAUUCUGGUGGAGUUUCUGAGACCUUAGAUUUGGAGGAGUCUGAGUUGGUGGUGUCAACAACUUUGGAAGCAGAAUCAGAAUCAGGGACUAUUAAAUUCUUUUCAAAAAGAAUAAUCUGAUUGUCCGGAGAGGUCAAUUCAAUUCUUUGGGUUUCUGCUGGGGAGUGCUGUAAAGGAUUGACUGUUGGAUCUACUAUUUGUGUUGUAUGAGAAGAAGGUGGAAAAGUGGCUAGAAUUACUCUGGGUCCUGAAAAUUGAAUCGAGGUGGAAAACUUGACCGUGUUGCUGUGGCAAAAUUAAUGGGUUAGGCUCUUCAACAGAAGUGACUGAAUGAGUGACAUGAGCAGGCUAGAAUAAAAGGUACACAUUUGUGAGUUUCAAUUUUACGUUUAAAUAAACAAAGUUUGUAGUUAUGAUCGUGUUACCUGAGUCCUGCGGAUCAAUUGGGGUCCAGAAUCAGAAUCGGCUAUAUCUUCUGAUUGGGAAGAGGCAGUAGGAGUGUCUUUGAUGGCCAGAUUGAUUUCUUCAGAACUUUCAGUCGAUGAAAGCAGUACCAACUGAUAAGAAAUCCAGAGUUAAGUAUGACUUAAAAGAUAAAAGUUGAAAUAUGUCUUAAAUAAAAAGAAGAAUUACAAAGUUACCUUUCGAGAAGUUUUAGUAGGAGUUUUUCUGCUUUGCGCUGGUGGUGGUCGAGCAGUUUCAGAUUUCCUUUUCUGAGUUUUCUUUGGAGAACUCUCAGCAACAGGGGUGAUUUGGAUUGCAGUUUGUUAAAUGUCUUCUAAGGUACGAGUGUACCUAGCAUAAUAGGUAGCCCACCAUUCAGCACAUGAUUUGGUAAUAUAAGAACUGCGUUCGUAUUCUAUGAAAUUGAAAUGCUCCCUGCGCUGUUGAUUCAUGGCAAGGCAAGAGUCAAAGUCUUCUUGAGUGGUUAGAAGGAAGUGACAUAAAGAAGCAUCAUUUCGAGGCUGAGGUUUGGGAAUGGCUUGUGAGAAUCCCAAUUGUCUAGCAGAUAGGUGAGGAGCAUACAGAGUUAUCUUGAAUUUUUCUUUUUUCUGUAAAGAUAAUCCCGUGGGGAUUACCUGAACUGCUAAUAAAUGUGCCCAACUUCGUUUGGCAAGUUCACUCCCUUCAUUUGAGUGUGGAAAAAGCAAAUGAUCUAACCAGGCAGGGCCUCAGUUGCGGCGUAAGUAAGGAGUAAAAUUCAGCUGUUCAUUUUCAAAAUUUUUACAAGAAUGAAAAAGGGCGAAAACAGCCCAGAACCUAUCGUCAUCCGAUUGUGCAUUCGGGAAAUUGGGCUUGUAUGCAGCUAAUCAAAACCAUUCAAUAUACUGUUUGUCAGUUUGACCACUUUCGGGUUUGGUCAUGAAAUUUUUAAAGAUGGCAUUGAGCCAUAAUUGAAGAAGCCAUAGAGGGCCUCCUGCAUUUAUUAAUUUAUUUUCUCGUUGGUUUGUAACAAAUUGGCCGAGUUCCUCGAGGAUGUGCCCUAAGAGAAGCUUGCCCAGAUUGAAAGUUUUGCCUUAAUGGAUAAGUGAGGCCAAAGAGAGGUAAAGUUUUGACAUUUGGAUGCUACGAGAGCAAAAUAGGAUUACAUUUAACCAGUAGAAUAAGAAAGCUACAUGUUCAUUGUCAGUGAUUUUGGUACCUUCUCUACCCAUGUUAUGGGCGAUGAAUUCACUGUAAGGACUAUUCAGAACGACGUUGUAUUGACGUUCAGGUUGCAUUUCAGAAGUGUAAUCUGGUAAAUUGAAAGGGAGUCCAGUAAUUGCGGCCACGUCGAGAAGAGACAUUCCAAUCAUUCCACAAGAAAUGUGGAAAUUAUUGGUGGUUCUGUUCCAGAAGCAUGUAACAGCCCCAAUCAUCCAGGGAUGUGUAGUCAGAGAGAAAUGAGAGAGUCUCAGCAGUUCAUGAAUCCCUAGAGCUCUCCAACUGGCACUUUUGGUGGGUUCAAGACGUCGGUACCAGGCUGUAAAAUCAUAUCCUCGUGGGCUGAUUUUUGGGUUGUUCCUGAACGUCUUUUGGUUGAUAAAAUGGGAAAUGUUGAAAGAUUGAUUUAUCAGCAAAUCUUCCCCUUCAGCACUGGGAAAAGAUAGAGACUUCUUGUUCACCUUUUCCAGAGAUUCAAUUGGUCCGAGGAAGCAAUGUGUGUCAGUUCUGAUUGUGAAAGGAAUUAAAAUACUAUUGUCACUGGAUUGAAUGUGAGGGUCAUCAAUGAUUUCAUCAUUAAUCUGAUUGAGAAUGCGAAGAGCUGGUGGAGGUGGUGGUAUUGAUGCAUGGCCUUUGCCUUUGUCAGAAGGAGUGAUUUGUGAAGAAGAGCCGGCCAUUUUUAGAUUUGGAAGUUUUGUGAAGAAAUUUGAGGUUGUAAAGAAAGUCUAGAGAAUGAUGGAAUGUAGGAAAAUUGAAUGGAGGUAAGAAUGGUGCUUUUAAAGUGUUGUUGUAGCCGUUACUGUAGACAAGAUACGAAAAGAGGUAACUUCUUGAGGAAGAUGGAAUGGUGAAGAGAGAGGGCGUGACUCUUGGGAGACGUGUCGAGUGGGCUAAUGAUAAUGGAAGUUUUUAAUGAUAAUUAUUAUUAAUGUGAAAACGGAUGUUUUUGGAUUAAGUGCUCUGCUUUUCGAUAAUGAUAUUAAAGGAAACCACAUUAAUCCAAAGGGGCAAUUUGUUGAUCGAAAAUUGAUUUUCGAUAUGAAAGGAAUUGAAUCGAAAGAUAUUGAAUAUAGGCUUUCGAGGAAAUGUGUUUAGGAGGCUAAGUUUGGGAGUUGCUGACACAGAAGUUGUUUCCGAAUUGCUUUGUUGAAAUCGAAGAAGUUAAAUUGACGAGGAGAUUCGAUUUGAAGGAAGACUUUCAAAGAUUUAGUCGAGUGGUCAAAGAAGUGAGAAGGUUAGUGGAUAAUUAAUCACAUGGGAGUGGAUAAUUAAUCACAUGGAGAAUAUCUAUAAUCAUGUAGUGGAAACAGUUACCAAAGGCAGUUGUGUUUCAAAAUUGUAAUUUAUUUUAAUUUUAAUUAAUUGUAAUUAAUGUAAUUUUAAUUGACCGUUAUGUAAGGGCAGCUUAUAAAUACUAGAGAUUUUUAGUAAAAAGGGGUUAGAACUUUUACUCAGAAAAAAACACUCUAAGCACUCUCACAUCCCAGCGUAUCUCUGAGUUUGCGAUCGAGUUUCCUUUUUCUGUAGGGUUCCUUCCAUCUUCUUUUAUUCUUUUUAAUUUCAUCAUGUUUGUAUUUUUUCAUAUUUUAUUUAAUCUUAUUCAUUAAGUGUUAUUCAUAUUUCUUUAUUUUUUUCUGUUGAAUUUAGUUUUCAGUAUUUUAUCAUUACCAUUUUACAUGAAGAAGUUCUUUACUUUAAAAGAAAGUAACUUAUUGUUUUCUUUUAAUUUCUUUAAAUUGUUUACAAAAUGUUAAUUUCUGAAUUUUAUUUACUAAUUUAUGAAUUUACUGUAUUUUAAUCCUUUAAAUUUAGUCUAAUCGAAGACACUUUAAUGCACUUAUAGAAAACUGGUACUCGCACAGAGGAGUUGGUUUUGCUUCCAGACCAUUAAAAUCGAACCACCAUCAAUUUGCUAAAAAUCGUCAAAAUAGAAUUACAGUUAGGGUGAGUCUUAUAUAAUCCUAAGAAGAGAACAAAAAAACUCAUCAUUCACAACAACCCCGCCAAAAUAUCUCAACUCAUUUUAUUAGCAAUAACAAACUUUUUUUCUUUUAAUUGACUAAUAUGUAUCCUUUUCAAUGUGUACCGUCAGUUAUUCUAUAUAAUAAAAAGCAUGAAAAUUUUAAAAAUAUAUUAAAAUAUAAAUAUGUAUUAUAUUAAACAAUUUAAAUAAAAUAUUGAUUUAAUAAAAUAAUUAUCGUUUUUAUAUAAAUACAUCUUCAUGUAAAUUAAGUAGUUAUUUGUUUAAGUUUCAAACUCUCAUCAAUGGAUUUUAAAGAAAAAUAAGAGGUAAGCAUCAAAGUGGUCCCUAAAAUUACCCUCGAGGCUCAAAGUAAUCCCUGAACUUAAAAAUUUGUCGAGAUCGUCCCUGAAGUUGAUUUCCGGUACUCAUAGUGGUCCUUCCGGUGAAUUUCGUCCAGCUGUGGCAAUCGAAAAGCUGACCUGACGUCGUUGGUGACACGUUAGCAGCGCAACGGCUAGCUGACGUGGCGCAGUAAAAAUUUUGGACUCAAUUUGGUCCCUAAUUUUAGGUUAAAAAUCCUAACCCCCAAUUGACUCUCUUCUCCUUUCUUCUCCAUUGCACACGCUGUUCUCCUCUACUCUCCGUCACACUCUUCACUCUUCAUUUCUCCCUUCGAUCGUCAUCUUUCUCUGCGUCUAUUGGAUUCCGUAAACGAUGAUGUCCCCGAACAAAUUCUCAGUGGAUCGAGGCUCUCCUCCUCAACCUCAAAAGGUAAAAUUGUAUCUCAAGAGAAAAACCUAAAAUUUUCCCCAUUUCUCUAAUAUUUUGCUUUUGGAUAUGCACAUUAUUAAACGAUUAUUUCUAAUUUGUGGCAAUAUUUAUUAUUAUUGGGUUUUAUCAUGUGACAAUGGAAUAGGAGAUUUCUGCUUUAUGGUGUUUUUUAGUGCGUCAAUGUUUUAGCAUUUGAUUGUAGUCGUUAUCUUAAUGUUUCAGUUGUUUUAAGAACUCGAUUGUAGCCACUGGUUCAAACUUUUUAUGAUGAUUAUUCCUACCUUACCAUGCUAUCUAAUAUGUACUAGAUUAGUUUGAUUUGUGUUUGUAGUUGGCUCAGUGCUAGUAUGUUAUUGUGACACAUUGACACAGUAGACAAGAUAAUAUUAAGAAUCAAUGUGGAUUGUGGACAAAUUUGGUGUAUCAUUUAUUGUAGGAAAGACAUGACUAUAUAGUUUUAUGUGACUUAUCAUUUAAUAAUGAUAAUAUAAGAAAGUCUUGGGUGGUCUGGUCUUGGGAGAACAAGAUAGUGGAUGCUAGAUUAAGAAGAUUAUAUUGGAUGUUUGGUAGGAAAAUAUUUAAAAAUGGGCGGUUCUAACUUGUAGACAAAAUUAGUAAGAAGAGCUUGGAUUUAGAUGGUGUGUUUCAGUGUUUGUGGAUAUGGUUUCUGGUAAGAUACAAAGAUAUUGUUUGAUUUGUGUAGUUGAUGUGGUGCAGAAGGGAAAAGCUUUAUUGUACUCAGGAAUUUCUAAGUCUCGUGACAUUCUACUAUGCCAUACUGAUUAGUGACUGGGUUUGUUCUUAGCGUGCUGAUGAUAAUCUUCCAUUUGUAGACAAACACCAUUGCAAAUUAUUCAUGUUGCUGCAAAUUUCAUGAGGAUAUGGUCAAUAUACUCCAUGUAUCGCUACUUAACCCAAAGUGGAGCUUCGGUUGUUUUUUUCUUGUUUGCCUGCAUAGCUCCUGCAGCAAUUCUCUUUUUGAUUUUGCAAAAGCCUUGGAAGGGCAGGCCACUUUCUAAUACACAGGUAAAUUUAACUGUUUUUAUCUUAGGGCAGAGUGCUAUAUACAAACCAAUAUAUUCAUAUCCAAAGGUUUUAGUGAUAUGAACAGUCCUUGACUAGUACCAUUUGUUUUUCAGGUUGUGUCAUCCAUAAUAAAUGGUGCUAUAACAGCACUUAUUUUGUCUUGCGGAGAAAGGGACUGAGAUCAUGUGGACCAGUUAGGUUGGUUUUAGUAUGCUUGUAGAAAAUUUUAGUUUGUAAGAUUAGUGUGCCAUAUUAUUAAUCUUUAACUAUGUCUUUUUACCCAUGUAGCAUCUUGAAUGAAAUUCAUUCGCAUAGAAUCCUGAUAACUGAUUUACAGUUUGUCAUUGACCAAUUGUUAUCAGUUGCCAUCAUUAUAUAGUUAUUUCUUCAUUAUAUUAGUAUUGCGCAUGUUGAGUGAUGCUUGAAAUCAAAUUUUUAAUUUUUUAUUUAUGAACUUAACAUAGUUAUUCUCUUUCUUACUAAUUCAGAGCAAUACUGUCUGAGUAUUCUGGUGCUAUCAUUGGGAUACUAUUUGCACUGUUAUAUGGGAGGAGAAACAAUUUGAGGAAAAAGGUGAAACUUUCAUAUUGUAACAUUCAUAGAUAUCAUACAAAUGUAUCCUCAUGAUGCUUCCAAAUGAUCGUGGGUUGUUGGAACUCUUAGCUGCGUUGCUAGUGUUAGCCAUAACGUGUGGUUUUCGAAGAUGAAGAAGACAGUGAAGACUCACCUCUUGUGUGACGGAGAGUAGAGAAGAACAGUGUGUGCGAUAGAAAAGAAAGGAGAAGAGAGUCAAUUGGGGGUUAGGAUUUUUAACCUAAAAUUAAGAACCAAAUUGAGUCUAAAAUGUUUACUGCGCCACGUCAGCUAGCUGUUGCGCUGCUAACGUGUCACCAACGACGCCAGGUCAGCUUUCCGGUUGCGCCAGCUAGACGAAAUUCUCCGGAAGGACCACUAUGAGUACCGGAGAUCAACUUCAGAGACGAUUACGACUAAUUUUUAACUUCAGGAAUUACUUUGAGGUUCGAGGGUAACUUCAGGGACUACUUUGAUGCUUACCUCGAAAAAUAAUCAAAUCAAGAUUUUAGAUCUUUUAAGUUGCAUUUAUUGCAAGCCAUGAUAGUUAACAAUUUAAAUACAAUUACCCAAUACACUCACUUACCUUCAAGACAAAUAAACAGUUUUUACAGUUAUUAACUGUCAAAAAUAAUUAUUAUUUCAUUAGAGUUUUUUUUUAUGAUCACUAAAUUAUAUAUAAAAAUGUAUUUAUACGUAUUUUUACUGUUACUAAUUAGAAUAAAAAUAAAAUAUUAAAAGGCAUUUUUAAUAUUAUGGCCUAAUAAUUAUUCACCAUCGAUUCAAUAUAAUUAAGAGUUCGUUUGGGAAAUUCUAAAAUUUAUUUUUUUUAUUUUUGACUUAUAAAAAGUUAUAUUAAUAGUGUUUGGUACAAUUUUUUAGUUAAAUUUUUAACUUUUUAAAAAGUUAUUUAAGAGUUUUUGAAAAAGUUAAAAAUGUGACUUCUCCUAUUUUCAAAAGCUAUUUUAUCACUCUUAUUUAAUACACAACUUUAAAACAAGGACUUCUAUAAUAACUUUCUAAACACAAAAUAACUUAUUUAAAAGUUGUUAUUAAUAAAAAUCCUUAUAUUUUAAGCUCUUUUUUCAAAAGAACUUAUUUAAAAAAACACUAAAAAUAUAUUUUUUUUAAAGAUGUUUAUAUGUGUCAUGUUAUUAUUAGACAUCUUUAUUAAAUCGGUUAAUAAUUUAUUUUUUAAUAAACCAGAACAAAAUCGGUUUAUUAUAGCAACAAUAAUAAAUCUAAUUGUUUACAUUAUAAUUAUUAGACCCAAUUUGAUCUGAUCGAAUUAUAUAAUCUAAAUCGAAUAUCUUUAAAUUUUUUGAUAAAAAGACAAAUAUAUCUCUGACUUUUUUAUUUUGCGGAUAUUUAAAUUCCUAAAAAAUUAAAAAUACAAUUAAAUCCCUAAAAAAAUUGAGUUUAUUGUUAUUGUUAUAAAAAAAGUCGAUUUUAUUCUAAUUUAUUAAGAAAUUCAAAAAUAACAAGUUAAUUAAUACGUACAAUAAUAAUACAACACGUAAACAUUUUACAAAAAAAUGUUUUACUCAUUUUUAUGAAAAGCAUCCCAUACAAGUUAAUCAGCCACAUUGAUUAGUCUUGGUACAUAUAACUAUAUAAGUACUAAUGAGUUAAACAAUUCUGAUCAACGUAAUAUAUAAUCCCAAUAACAUGAGUAGAUUAGCAAAAGUCUUUACAUACAUGUACAAUGCAAGGGCAUUACUUAGGAGGGAAUGCAAGUCAUACUUAAAAAAAAAUAGCAAUGAUAUAUAGAAGUAAAUAUUUAUUUUUUUAUUAUAUUUUAUUUGUCCUCAUAAUAAAAUAUAAAUUAUUUUCUUAAGUUUUAUAUUANNNNNNNNNNNNNNNNNNNNNNNNNNNNNNNNNNNNNNNNNUUUAUUAAUAUGUAUAAAAAUAAAAAAAUAUAACAUAAAUCAAAAUAAUAAGUGUUUAGAGGUACCUGAUUAAAUUAUUAAGUAAUAAGAUCGAUCUGAUCAUCUUAUUAGGUCAGAUCCAAUAAAGUGAUUCAAAUUAACGAUUUAUUCUUUUACAAUAUAAUUUUAGAUUUUUAGUAUUUUGAAUUCUAGCCGUAAGAAUUUUGUAUUUUUAUUAAGCAAUCUUUCGGUUUAAGUAAUAAUAAAAAAGUAAAAAUAUAUAUAUAUUUUUAAAUUAAAUAUAAUAAAAAUUAUUUGUUAAAAUAAAAAUAUAUUAAUUGCUAUCNNNNNNNNNNNNNNNNNNNNNNNNNNNNNNNNNNNNNNNNNNNNNNNNNNNNNNNNNNNNNNNNNNNNNNNNNNNNNNNNNNNNNNNNNNNNNNNNNNNNNNNNNNNNNNNNNNNNNNNNNNNNNNNNNNNNNNNNNNNNNNNNNNNNNNNNNNNNNNNNNNNNNNNNNNNNNNNNNNUCAUUUACGUUGCAUUAUACAUGCAUUAUGCAAUAAUACUGGUUAGCAAUUUAGCAUAUAUAUUCCCAAGGCCACUUGCCAGUUGCCAUGGUUUCAUCAAUUUGCUUACCUAAGUUUUCCCACGCGUCCUACUAUUCACAUUUUACGCUCUAAAAUCGAAUGGCUCAAUCGGUAGUGUUGAUAAGCUUCGUUGACCCUUCAUUUCAUUGCAAUUUAACCCAAUCGAAAUAUAAAUGUUUUAGGUUGUAUUUAAGGAAGGUUAUCAUUUAAUUUUUCAACCACUUUGAUUUAUCUUCUUUUUCAUUUAUCACUAUAAAUAGUGCGGAGGAGAAACGUAAGCUCCAUGAUAAAAUGCUCCGGCGGAUAUAUAUGGAUGCACGGAUCUAUAGUUCUCUAUACAUAGGUGUGUGUUUGUUUCAAUGAUGUUCAUAAUGUAAAUAAUAAGAAAUAAGAAAUAAAGCAUGGUGCAUGAACUAGUAAACUACCACGGACUUCAUACAUGCACCAUGCCAUGCAUGCUCUUGUGCUAUCUGUAUCUAUCUGUACCGUCAGUUAUUUCAUAUAAUAAAUCGCCACGUCUCUGAUGACUACAGAAAUGGUGGCUAUGGUGACUUUUUGUUGACUAAUACUAAAUUCUAAACCAUCCACAGUAAUUUGUGAUAUUUAGUUAUUUACCUAAA
RNAcentral lists this long non-coding RNA (54117 nucleotides) under Arachis ipaensis. RNAcentral's name for it is "long non-coding RNA (AIPA_LNC001671)". The record is from RNAcentral. Lineage: Eukaryota; Viridiplantae; Streptophyta; Magnoliopsida; Fabales; Fabaceae.